GGUUCUUCCUGAAUUGUACGAUUCCUUUAUAUCUGCAAUACAGAAGAAGGGUAACAUAAGAAUAGCGCCGAAUAAAAUCAUGGCUGCUGCUCCACACCUGACUCCUGGUGCGCUUUUGAUUGGAGAUGCACUCAACAUGCGGCACGCUAUAACCGGAGGGGGAAUGACUGUUGCUCUGUCUGAUGUCGUAAUACUUAGGGAUCUUCUAAGACCCUUGCAUGAUCUAUCCGAUGCAUCCACCAUUUCAAAAUAUCUCGAAUCUUUUUAUACCCUGAGGAAGGUAUUGUAGUUUCAUGUUUUAUAUGCAUUUUGAAAGUGAAUGGCAAUGAUGAAAACGGUAUAAUUUUGCCCUUUAACUACAUGCAGCCAAUGUCAUCUACACUAAAUAUACUGGCUAAUGUCCUACAGAAGGUAUUCAGUGCCUCGUCCAAUCCAGCAAUGAAGAAUCUGCAGCACACCUUUUUGGGGUAUUUGAGACUUGGAGGGAUGUUUUCAUAUGGAGCAUCCGCUAUGCUCUGUGGUUUAUGCCCUUCUUCAUUAAGCUUAGCAUUUCAUUUCUUUUCCAUUGCAAUAUAUGGCGUUGGCCGAUUGUUACUUCCAUUUCCUUCUCCCAGGCGUUUGUGGGAUGGGGCUAAAUUCCUUUGGGUCAGUAUCUUUACCAAACAUUUAUAUAAUAACAUGAUAUAAAUAUAUAAGAUCUUAAAUAUGAUUAUUAUAUAGAAUCAUAUUAAUAAAAAUAUUUUCAUGUUUUUCAGAUGGCAUCAAGUGUUCUUCUCCCCUACAUAUACUCUGAAGGAACCAGACAAAUGUUCUUCCCUCUAACUGUGCCAGCAUAUUAUAGAACUCCCCCUGAAAAUAAGGACAAAAAAAACUUCAUGCAAUAAUUAGCAGCAUUUGUUGGAACAAUUCUAUGUUCAUAACAAAAUCUCAUACAUCUGUUACUUGCAUUCUUAAGUAGGUCUUAAGACAAUUGGACGCAUGUGUAGAGACAAUGACGCAUCAAAGCUAAAAUAAGAAAAUAGAUAAGGUAAGUCUCGAGAGACAUUAAUUAUUAAUUGUUGUAUAUUGAUUUAAAUGUUUAUGGUAAGUAAAUAAGGUAAGUGUUAGCAUUUUUUAUAUUGAAUUGUGAUUUAUGUGAAAUUGUGAUUUAUGUGAUAAUUGAGUAUUGGAUAAUUAUGGCAUUAGAAAAGUGAACUAAAACUCUGUUAACUGUAUCGGGCUGAGUUGGAUAUAGAUGGCAUGCCAUAGGAUUAGAAGAGUUUAGGGAUACUUCGACUUAGAGUCGAUGAGACACUGGGUGUCAAAUUAUUACUUCGGCUAAAUUCGAUGAAAUACUGGGUACCAAUUUACUUCUGCAUGGCCGAUGAGACACUGUGUGUCAACUUAUUGCUUCGAAUUAUCCGAUGAGGCACUGGGUGCCAAACUGGUGUGUUUUGGUUGGAUUCGUGUAUCCGUCCGAGUCCGUGUCAUGUUAAUAGGGGUUACUGAAUAAAAUAGUGUUAUGAUUGAUAUUGAGUGGUGAUUUGAAAUAUGGUUAGAGACACAUGAUUUGUGUAUUUAUGAAUUGAAUAUGAAUGAACAAUAUUGUUGUUCAAAUGAUUUGUGUUCAUAUUGUGAAAAGCAAUCUGGGAUAGCAAAUGAUAAAAUUUGAAUGUGUUAUAAAUAUCUUAUUUAUGAAUUGAAUAAUUGUAUGGCUAUAGUUAUUGUAUGUUAUAUUAUUUUACUUUUAAGCAUUUGGAUUAUAAAAAUACCACUGAAUUUAUACUCAGCAUACGGUUUAUUUUCCGUGCGCAGGUUAGGUUAAAGUCAGAUUGUCGAUUCAGCAUCCAUCAACGAUCCCGAGCUUAAAACGUGGUGAUGUAUAUUUCUUUUUGUGUCGGCAUGUACCUAGGAUGUCUUAUGCUUGUCAUUUUGGGAAGUGAAUGUAAAUGAUGUUAUAAGAUGAUAUUGGUUACUUAUAUACAUAAUUAUACGUGUUAAGUUGAGGUUUAAUGUGGAAUGUUUAAGUUGAUGCAUAAGUGAAUGUGAUAUAGGCAAAUUUGGGUUGAAAUUGGUAUGAAUUUAGAAUUGGAUUAAUUGGUGUUUUAUUUGAUUGUUUUGAUAAUAUAUGUGAAGUACCUAUGAUGGUACAUUGGUUAGGAAACUAGGAUGAUUGUUUUGACAUGUUUUAAAGUGAUUGAACCAUUGGUUUUUUACUUGCUUGGUGUUCAAGGUUGCAGGGAAGGGUAAACUUGAUGUUUAAGGUUCAUUUUGCGUCCACACUGCCAGACACACGGGUGUGUGGCUGGACCGUGUGAGACGCACGGCUAACACAUAGGCGUGUGUCCCCUGUUUCUUUGAAAAUUUUUUAUGUUUUCGAAAAAAAUUCCUGGAGUACUAUUUGAUUUAGUCCCGAUUUGUUUCUAACACAUAUUUUAAGCCUCGAGGGCUCAUAAAAAGGACAAUGUGAUUAAAUUAUAUGUUGUGUAUGCUAGAUGAUUAUAUAAUGUUCAUAUUUGAUCUGAAAAGUCCGAUAUGCUCCGUAACCCUGUUUCGGUGACGGAUAAGAGUUAGGGAGUGUUACAUCCUCUUUCCAUUCUUCCACUUUUCCACUCAACUAAGCACACCUUAAGGGUGUAUAUGGGUGAGAGAUUUGUAGGAGGGCUUCAUUUAAAUUAAGGUUUCAAAAGUCUAAAAAUGAAUUUACCUUUUUCGGGUAAAUAUAUUGAAGAAUUUAAAAUUUUGUGAGUAAUUUCAAGAAUGAAUUUUAAUAGCUCAAAUUCCUUUUUUAAUUCCGCUUAAAUAGGUGGUUUUUCGAAAUCUCUAACAAUUUUAAUUGAUUUAAUACACAUGGUUCGGCUAUAAAAUAAAAACUUAAACCUCAAAAUUUAUUUUAUUUAAUUAUAAUAUAUUUUUUAAAAUUUUAUUGUAUUAAAGUUAUUUAUAAAUUUUUACAAAUAUAAUGAUUUUCAUAUUGAAUAUUGUUUAUAUUAUUUAUAUUUAAUAUAAUUAUUCUUUUUAUAAUUAUUUUCUAAUUUGUAAAAUUCCAUUAACCUAAAUUUUUUUGUAAACCAAUUAUUUACCCCAACAAAAUAACCACAAAUACUAGCAUUUUAAAUAAUCUAAAAAAAUUCUAAUUAUAGGUCUCAAUCAUAUAUGCACUUUUUGACACAAUGCCUAGAACUACCCAUAGUCCCUCCCCAGCUCAUAGAUAAAAGGAUAAUACGUUUUAGCAGACUCGAAAUCACGUCUUUCUCCUCAUGCCAAUUGAAUUAAGUUUCAAUCGACAAUUCGAUACAAAUUUAAGCAUAUAUUUUUUUUAUAUUUAUGUCAUAUGUUUGCUCUUUUUAUUGUGAAAUUAUUUUAAUUCUGGUUAAAAUUAUUUCACUUUAAGAUAAUUUAUGUGUUGUAAUUAUAUUUAAUAAUUAUUAUUUAUAAAUUACAAUAUAUUAUUAAAUGCAAGUAGUUUGAUUUUUUUUUUUUUAUCUUUUUCAAUUGCGCGGAGUGGGGCUACUUCUAUUCAACCAUCUAUCACAUCAGUUUUAAGUAAAAUUAAAUUAAAUUAAAUUGUUUUUUUCGAAAAAUUAAAUUGAAUUGUCUUUUUCUCUUUGAUUUUCUCUUUGUCUUUUAGCAAUAAUAGCUUUUCAAGGCUUAAUUUAAUAAGACGUACCCGGGUUGGUUUAGUUUUUUAAAUUAUCUUUUCAUUGGUUUGAAUAUUUAAUAGGCUUAAUUUAGUUGGCAAGUUCUUAAGCUUGGUGGUAAUGGGUUUGAAUGAAGGAAUUCUAGUUGUCAAUCUUUGCUUUCACUUUCUCCUUAAUCAUCUACUUGCUAGAUGGUUUUGGUGCAGAACAAAUGAAAUUCAUAUUCGUUUAUGUGAAUAAAAUAAUCGUUUAUUUUUUCAAAAUGCGUAAAUAUUUUGAUUUUCAUAAAAUAUAACUUUAUGAAAAAAAAAAACUCAACUAUUACAUGUGAAAUUUAAAUUAAAUUAGGAAGGACCAACAAUUGAUUGCUCAUAUAAAUAUCUUAUUUUUUCAGAUUUUUUUUUUCCGAUUCGGAUUCAUCUCUCGUGAUAAAAGUUGAAGUAAAAUUAUUAGUUAUUAAGGUGGAGGCUCGUUCUCACCUGUGCAAAGGGAUAAGCCACUGACAUGACAGCAUCCACAACAGAUGACAAAUUAAAAAUUUAAAGGCGUGAAGUACAAAAACAGGCGCUGCUUCUUCACUCACCAUUCAUUGGACCCCUUUCUUAAAUAAAUGCUGUUCUGCUUGAUUAUCCUUUCCAUACAUUGUUCUUAAAUCAAUGGCUGAGCAGUAUAUAGUUGGAGUUGCAGGUGUUAUAGCCUUUCUUUUGGGGUUUGUUUUCUUAGUGAGAUCUUGGGGGCUGAGCAAGCUGAAAAGAGCAGCUUCAAUGGAAUUCCCAAAGGAAAGCUGUGUAAACAAAAAUGGAAAUGGUGAGGGUGAGGGUGAGGCUGUUGGCACUACGGAAAUUAUCAUAGUCGGUGCUGGUGUUGCCGGUGCUGCUCUUGCCUAUUCUCUUGGAAAGGUCCCAAUUUUUACGCUCCUUUAUUUUAACUUUAUAGUAUUAAGUUCGGAGUUGGGAUAAUAAUAGUAACCAACUUUAAAGGUAGGUUUGGAUGAGCGAUUGAGUGCAGUGCGGUGUGUUUAGUUUAUUUUUUGUCUCACGCUACAGUGUCUAAUAUUACCACCACCGCUGUUUUUACACUAACCGCAGGCAAACGCACCGCCCAUCCAAACUCAUCCUAAAAAGAUAAUUUUCAGUGGCCAAGCCACUAAGAGAUUCGGGGAGUCAAGGCCAAAGGUCUAAAAUUUUUCAAUUUCUUUUUUAUAUACAUGUAAUGUAAUCACCCUCCCAAAUAUAAAAAUAGAUUUUUCUAAUAUUUUUAUAGUAUUAUAAAUAAUAUUAAAAUAUUUUUUAUUAUGAAAAUUGUUAAAAUAAGAUUUCGUAACAAAAUAGAGGAUAAGUUUCUUAUAAAUAAUCUUGUUCUUUAUUUUAAGAGAUGUUGCCGAAACUUUUAAUCUAAACUCUAUAUUUAAUGAUUUUAUUUUUUUGAAAGAACAUCGUGCACUAAUCAUAUGCUAUUUCUUCUUGAUUGUUCUUUUUAAAUAUGUAUUUAUAUAAUCUUUUUUAAUUUAUAUAUAUUUAGAAAUAUAAUAUGGAACAAAAAUUUUAUAUAAUUCUUUGUAGUGUAAUUAACAUAAAUAAUAUUUGUUAUAAUAUUUUUUUCGUAGCACGUCUAAUUUUAGCUUGGCUCUUUCAAGAUUAAUAUCCUGAUUCUGUCACUGUUCAUUAUUUUAAAAUAAAUAUAAAAGAUACUUUAAUAUAUGUCAAACAAUAAAAUAAAGAAUUAAAAUUCCAUCUUAGGGUCUGUUUGAUUGACGUAAUUGAUUUUUCGAAAAAUCAUUUCUAACUUUUCCAGCGUUUGAUUGGCGGAAAACAUUUUCCAUUUGGAAAAUGAACUCCAAAACAAGGGAAAAUGGGUUACAUUUUAGGGAAAAUGUCUUACCCUUUCAAUUUCCGUAAGACAUUUUCCGUGCUCUCCUCUCUAUCGCCUCCUUCAUUCCUUCCUUCAUUUCCGGUAGAAAAUUGCUUCUGUUUAUCGAUUUUUCAGUAACUUCUUUUUUUUAAUUAUUCAAUACUUGUUUUUUAACACAAUUACAAAUAAUUUAUUUGAUAUUAGUUUUUUUCAAUUUAUAACGAUUAAUAUUGUAGCUUAAUAAUUGAGUAUUAUUAUAAAUAAAUCAUUGCAAUAUAUGUAAAAACAAUUUAAAAUAUAAAAAUUUAUUAAUACAUAUCAAUAUAUGCAAAAACAACUUUUCCGGAAAAUAUUUUCAGAAAAUCUGCCAAAUAGCAAAAAAUAUUUUACACAGAUUCAAUCAAACACCAGAAAAUAUUUUCCAGUAAAUCAUUUUACAGAAAAGUAAAACAUUUUCCAGAAAUCAUUUUACGGAAAAUAUUUUACUGGCAAUCAAACAGACCUUAAUUAUAUUUAAUGUAGAAAUACAUAUAAAUAUUUACUAAAUAGAGAUUUUUAAAAAUAUUGUAGAGGUGGAGAAUGCUCCAUUUAGCGUCAAUUAACAUCAGUUUCUGUCUUCAAGUUUUCAUAAGAUCCUUGAAAAAUGGAUUUAACUAUGAUGUUAUACCUAAUAAUUUUUUUAUAAUUAUAUAUUGCAGGAUGGAUGUUGAGUGCAAGUGAUAGAAAGAGACUUAAAUGCACUUAAUAGAUUUGCUGGCGAAUUAUUAAUGCCAGGAGGCUACCUCAAGUUAAUUGAAUUAGGCCUCGUAGGUAAAUAAGAAAAUUAAUGGAAUAUAAUGUUACAAUGAUAUUUCUUUGUAUAUUUUUAUUUAUUUAUUUUACAUUAAAUGUUGGCAAUACAGAUUGUGUAGAUGAGAUUGAUGCUCAACAAAUUUUAGGUUAUACUCUAAACAAGGAUGGAAAGGAGGCUCUCAUAUCUUUUUCAUUGGAAAAGUUUCAGUCUCAUGUUGUAGGAAGAACCUUCCAUAAUGGUCGUUUCGUUCAAAGACUACGAAAGAAAGCCGCAUCUCUUCACAAGUACUUUCUCUCCUUCCUCCCAAUCAUUCUUUAAUUUCAAUAUAAUAUUUUAGAACAUUUAUCUUAAUGGAUUAAAUGACUUGUAGUUGUUUUGAUCCAUUACUUCUAUUUAGACCUAUCAAUUGAGCUCAUUCAGUUGAUUUUGGUUUGAUCAAUCUAGAUAAAUCACUCAAGUUUUUAAACUAACACAUCAUUUUGGUUUUUAUCACUUUAGGCUAAGGAUUAUUUUGGGUUCAGAUCAUUUCAUGUGUAGAUUUGAGUCAUUUUGGGUUCAAACAUUAGAGCUCCAGGUUAUAAUUUUUUGAGUCUGGUCAUUACAAUUUAAUAUCGUUUUGGUUCUAGUCACUUCGAGUUUGGGUCCUUUCAAGUUAAUUUUUGAAUCAUUUUGGGUUUGAGUUGUUUUAAGUUCAAGCUAGUUUGGGUUAGGGUAAAUUUUUGUUAAAGUUGGAGGGACUCAAAUUGUGGACCCUUUAUAGUCAAAUCAAAUUGGAUCAAAUUUAAGUUCCAAUUGAUCGAGUCAAAUUUUUAAAUUCAAGUCAAAAUUGACAUGUUUGGUUCUUUUACUAUUACUUUGUUUCAACUUGUUUUAAUCAGAAAUUAUGCCUCUCUUUACAAGCUCCAAAUUCAUGUUUUGAUGAUAUGAUAACGCAGUGUAAGUUUAGAACAAGGGACAGUAACAUCUCUACUUGAAGAAAAUGGUAUUGUCAAAGGAGUGCACUAUAAAGAUAAGAGUGGUCAAUUGCUAACAGCUUAUGCUCCUCUCACCAUCGUCUGUGAUGGUUGUUUCUCGAAUUUGAGACGCUCUCUCUGCCAUUCUAAGGUGAAAAAAAUGCUUACAUAUAUACUCUUGUUAAAUUGGUUUAAUUCUUAUUUUAGUCACUCGAUAACGUUAAAAAUUUGAGAUUUAGUCCUAUUUUAUUGUGCCAUAAUUUGAUUCCAUUAUUUUUGUGAUGAUAUUAGUAUGUCAAAAUAGAUCAGUUGCUUUUAUUAAAGAAUUGACUCAUUUUUUGGUCAUAUAGUCCAGGUCACAUUGAAAUCAAGUCAAUUAGGUUGAACCAAUAAUGAAAUUACAUGUUACUCGAAUGUUAGUUAGUUUUAAUAGAAAUCUAUGUCAUUAUUUCAAUGUAACAAUUAACGAUGUCAUCAAUUUGGGCCUACAAUAAAAGUAGAGAGACUAAAUUUUGCCAAAUUGAAAUAGAGGAAUAAAAUUCCAAUUUCAGCUUGGUAGAGGGAUUAAAACCAUAAUUAGACUUAAAUUAUAUGCUUUGAGAAAAUAUACAUAUAAAGGUCUCGAUUGUUUGUGCAGGUGGAUAUCCCCUCUUAUUUUGUUGGUUUUAUCUUGACGAACUGUAAAUUUCCAAAAGAAAAAUAUGGAGCUCUUAUAUUAGCAGAUCCUUCACCUAUCCUAUUUUAUCCCAUUAGUAGCACUGAAAAUUCGUUGCUUGGUGGAUGUUCCUAGUCAAAAUCUACCCUCUGUUUCCAAUGGUGAAAUGGCUCAUUACUUGAAAACUUUGGUGGCUCCCAAGGUAUAUUUAUAUCUUUCUUUAAUCGACUCAUUAAUGGAAUUUGGUUGAACUUAUGGACUAACUAUAUGAUCUAUGAUACAUUUCAGGUUCUUCCAGAAUUAUACAAUUCCUUUAUAUCUGCAAUAGAGAAGAAGGGCAACAUAAGAAUAAUGCCGAACAGAAUCAUGGCUGGUGCUCCACACGUCACUCCUGGUGCUUUUUUGAUUGGCGAUGCAUUCAAUAUGCGGCAUGCUAUAACUGCAGGGGGAAUGACUGUUGCUUUAUCUGAUGUUGUGAUACUUAGGGAUCUUCUAAGACCCUUGCAUGAUCUAUCUGAUGCAUCCGCCAUUUGCAAAUAUCUUGAAUCCUUUUAUACUCUGAGGAAGGUAUUGUAAUUCAUGUCCUAUAUGAAUUUUUUAAAGUGAAUAAAAAGGAACAAAAAAUGGCAUAAAUUUUCACUUUUAACUGCAUGCAGCCAAUGUCAUCUACGAUAAAUACACUAGCCAAUGUUUUACAUAAGGUAUUUAGUGCCCCGUCCGAUCCUGCAAUGGAGAAUCUGCAACAAACAUUGUUGGGGUAUUUGAAACUUGGAGGGGUUUUUUCAUCUGGAGUAUCAGCUCUGCUCUCUGGUUUAUGCCCUCGUCCAUUAAGCUUAGUAUUUCAUUUCAUUGUCAUGGCAAUGUAUGGUGUUGGCCAGUUGUUACUUCCAUUUCCUUCUCCCAAACGCUUGUUGGAUGGGGCUAAACUCCUUUGGGUCAGUAUCUCUAGCAAUGAUCAUUUCUCAUAUAUCAUGAUCACUAACACGAUAAAAAUAUAUAAUAAUUUUAAAAUGACGUUAUUUUUUUUUGUUUUUUCAGGUUGCAUCAAGUGUUUUUCUCCCCAUUAUACACUCUGAAGGAGUCAGACAAAUGUUUUUCCCUCUAACUGUGCCAGCAUAUUAUAGAACUCCCCCUAAGGGAAAAAAAAUCUGAGAGGAAACUCCAUGCAUCUGUAGUGAACAAUUCUAUAUAUAUUCGCAAUAGAUUUUCAUAUUUGUUUCUAGUUAGCAUUCUCAAGUAGGCUUAAUGGUCGUUUGUACUCAUACUAUUUUUAUGUGUCUUGUGUAAAAUUCUAAAUAAAGGUUUUGUAAUUCUUGUGUUGGUGUUAUUUUUAUGUAUCUUGUUUGAAAUAUUGAACUAACGCGUUAGUAUUUUUAAGUAGGUUCAAUAAGCAUCCUAUUCGUAUUGUUUUUGUUAAUAUAACUUAUUCAUGAGUUCAUUAAUAUUAAUAAGUGUGUAGCGAUCUCAUGAGUUUGGAAAGCUCUUUGGGAGAGAUUUUGCACAACUUGAGUGUAUAUCCUAAAGCAUUUGUUGCGAUGGACAGGAUUUUUCUAGAUAGAGCUUUGAUAUAGGUGACUUGAGUGGAAAUAUCUAUCCAAAUUUUGCACAAAUUUACGACCAAGUGAAUAAAGUUGAGUUUAUGAUGCAUUUUCGAUAAAAUAUCUUUUUAGCUAACUGGGCGGCAAAAGUGACAUUAAAUAUUCCAGAAAAGAUCUUUGAUGCACUCCCCAAGCGUAUAGCAGAACUUCCCCCGGCAAUACCAAAAAAUAAGUUAAUUUGUCUUUUCCCUUGGUUUUUUCUCCAAUAAUAAUUUAUCCUUUUUGUUUCUGCAUUACGUGUGGUGGAGGUACAUCUAUCAUAUUUUUGUCAACUUUUUUGUUUUUCCAUUACGUGAGGUGGACAGCGGCCAAACUAUGGGACUCCCUCACUUAAAAUAGAAAAUUUUUUAUUUAAAUUUUUAAAAUUUUUAAAAUUUUAAAUUAAAAAAAUAAAAUUGUACUUUGAUGUUUUUUAAAGUUGAUAAAAAUUUAAUUUAAUUUUUUAAAAAAUUAUAAAGAUAUAGGCUAUUAAAAUAGUAAAAUUAUAUUUUUAUUGUCAUAAAAAUUACAAUUUAAUUUCGACCUUCUAAAUUUUUUUUGUGACAUUCGGGACUAAACUGAAUAAAUUAAAAGUUGUUAAGAAAUUAUGCCAUAGACUAAAAAUACAAGGUCUCUAACAUGAAAGUAUAUGAAAUCAGAUUUUGAUUCAAUACUAAAGAUUGAAAAGUAUGAGCAUUUCUAAUAUAGGGAAAAAUGAAGAAAAUACAAAAUAUAUUUGAUUAUAUGUUUAUCAUGUGGUUGAGUGAAAACUAAAGCUAUUUUAUAAUUGAAUUAUCGAACGUAGCUAAAAACAAUGUCAGGCCGUCCUAAGAUAAAGGAAAUGCAAGAAUCGAAGAAAGUAAUUAAUACGAACUAAUACGAUUUGUACAUUCAUGAUUCAAAUUCAAUAUUUGCAAACUAAAUUGUCUCAUGGUUUGGUUUGUAUUUCAAUACUAUUGAACAUAUGUUUGAUCUUUAGAUUUGUAAUUUGUAAAUGUUUAAUUUAAAUAUGAUAUAAAAGUAUGAAAAGUAAAAAAAAAAAACGUGAUGAUAAUAAUAUUAAUUAUAAUUUAAAAGAAGAGAUAUUUUAUUAUUUUUAUUUCACUUUAAAAUAGAUCUGAUUUUACGAAAAUUUGAAACAAUAGAGAACUAACCUAGUAAAAAGUAUACUUUAUACUUUAUAAUUAAUAUUGUUUGAUAGAGAGCUGUUCUAAAAGUAUCACAAAAAUUAUCGAAUUAUUUAUUUUAUAUAAAGAAAAACUUAUAACCACUAAAUACAUAUUAAUAAAGACCUAAUAUUUAAUCAAUAUGAUAAAAAUAUCGAAUCAAUUUAAAAUUGUACAUGCAUAAGAACCACAUUAUUUAUAUCGAUAUAUUCAUUUUAUAAUUAUAUAAAAGUUUGAGUAAAACUAUUAGCUUUACAGGUGGAUCUCAGAGGCGAAGUAAGAAAAUUUUUAAGUGAAAUUAAAUUAUAUAUUUUUAAGAUAAUAAAAAUAUAAUUUUACUAUUUUUAAUAGUCCAUACUUUUAUAAAUUUUAAAAAGUUAAAUUAAAAUUUUAUCCUUUAUCAAAUAUUAUUAAUUUAAAAUUUUAUAAAAUAUCUGGUGGAGUACUGUGAUUUUAGUUGCCACUUGUGCAAAGGGAUAAGCCACUGACAUGACUGCAUCUGCAUCCAUGAAAGAAGCCAAAUUGAAUUGUAACUUACUGCUCCUUUACGCUAAGAAUUUUUUCAGAGACGUGGAAGUACAAAAACAGGCGGUGCUUCUUCAUUCUUAUAUAAAUGCUGUUCUUCUUGAUUAUUCUUUCCAUACAUUGUUCUUAAAACAAUGGCUGGGCAGUUUAUAGUUGGAGUUGCAAAUGUUAUAGCCUUGCUUUUGGGGUUUGUUUUCUUAGUGAGAUUUUGGGGGCUGAGCAAGCUGAAAAGAGCAGCUUCAAUGGGGUUCCCAAAGGAAAACUGUGUAAACAAAAAUGGAAAUGGUGAGGGUGAGAGUGAGAGUGAGGGUGUUGGGACUGCAGAAAUUAUCAUAGUCGGCGCUGGUGUUGCCGGUGCUGCUCUUGCCUAUUCUCUUGGAAAGGUCCCAAUUUUUUAUCACCUUUAUUUUAAUUUUAUAGAAUUAAGUUUCGACUUGGGAUAAUAAUAGUAUUGAACUCUAAAAGGAUCUUGGAGCCACAUACAUGACUCUCCCAACUUUUCCAAUAUUUUUGUAGUGAAAGAGAUUGUUUUAAUUUUUUAUUUAAAUUUUAUAUUUAGUAAUUUUAUUUCCUUAAAGGAACAUCGUGCACAGUUUUAAGUAGGUCUGCUCAUGACCUGGUCCAGCUCAAAAGCCCGCUCGAAAAAUAGAAGAUUUAGGUAAAAAUAUAGGCUCAAAAAAUGAGCUUGGGAGAAAAAUGCCCAUUUAGAAAACGGGCUAAGCCUCAAGUAAGGUUUUUUAGCCCGGCCCAAAUAUGUAGUUUUUUUUUUUUACAAUUUUUUUCUAUUUUCUUGUUGUUGUUUUUCACUAUUUUGCUACUAUUUCACUAUUAUGUCAUUAUUUUGUUGUUAUUGUAUAACUAUUGUUUUAUUGUUAAUUUUGUUAUUAUUUUAGAGGUAUUUGCUUGUUAAGUUGCACUUAUCUUAGUGUUAUUUAAGUAUACAUUUUUUUAAAAAUUUAUUUUCAAUUUGUUGGAAAACAAUUAUUUUAAUAUUUUUAAUAUUUUUUUAAAAAAAAUUAAUACAAGCGGAGCCCGGGUUUUAACAUUUUAUUCGGGCUAGGCUUGAGCAAAAUUUAAGGACCAUUUUUUGGGCCCGGGCCAAGCAAACGAGUCUAAAAUUUUGGUUUUGCCCGGCCAAACCCAUAAACACCUCUAGUUUUAAGUAAUCAUAUGUUAUUUCUUCUUAAUUGUUCUUUUUAAAUAUGUAUUUAUGCCAUCUUUUUUUAACUUACAUAUAUGUCUUUUUUGUAGUAUAACUAACAUACAUAAUAUACGUUACCAGAAAUAAAUAUAAAAGAUACUUUAAUUAUGACAAAUAAAAAAAUUGAAAUUCCUUCUUAAUUAUAUUUAAUGUAGAAAUACAUAUAAAUAUCUAAGAUUUUUAAAAAUAUUGUAGAGGUGGGGAAUGUCGCAUUUAGCUUCAAUUAACAUCAGUUUCUCUUCAAGUUACCAUAAGAUCCUUGAAAAAUGGAGUUAACUAUGAUGUUAUACCUAAUAAUACUUCUAUAAUUAUAUAUUGUAGGAUGGACGUCGAGUGCGAGUGAUAGAAAGGGACUUAAAUGCACCUAAUAGAAUUGCUGGUGAAGCUCUAAUGCCUGGAGGCUACCUCAAGUUAAUUGAAUUAGGCCUUGAAGAUAAAUAAGAAUAGUGGAUGCAAUAUAAUAUUUCAAUGUCAUUUCUUUAAAUAUAUUACUUUGAAUGUUGGCACUACAGAUUGCUUAGAUGAGAUUGAUGCUCAACGAUUUUUGGGUUAUACUCUAAACAAGGAUGGAAAGGAGGCUCUCAUAUCUUUUCCAUUGGAAAAGAUUCAUUCUCAUGUUGUAGGAAGAACUUUCCAUAACGGUCGUUUCGUUCAAACAUUACGAAAGAAAGUAGCAUCUCUUCACAAAUACUUUCUCUCCUUCCUCCCAAUCAUUCUUUAAUUUCAAUUUAAUAUAUUAGAACAUUUAUCUUAAUGGAUUAAAUGACUUGUAGUUGUUUUGAUCCAUUACUUUUGUUUAUGAGCUCGUCCAGUUGAUUUUGGUUUGAUCAAUUUAGAUAAAAUCACUCAAGUUUUAAAACUAACACAUCAUUUUGGUUUUUAUCAUUUUAGGCUAAGGAUUAUUUUGGGUUCAGAUCAUUUCCAGUUUAUAUUUGAGUCAUUUUGCUCCGGGUUUCAAAUUUUUGAGUGUGGUCAUUACAAUUUCAUAUCGUUUUGGUUCUAGUCACUUCGAGUUUGGAUCCUUCCAAGUUAAUUUUUGAAUCAUUUUGGGUCUGACUUGUUUUAAGUUCAAGUUAGUUUGGGUUAGAGUAAAAUUUUGUUCAAGUUGGAGGGACUCAAAUUGUGGACCCUUUAUAGUCAAAUCAAAUUGGAUCAAAUUUAAGUUCCAAUUGGUCGAGUCAAAUUUUCAAAUUCAAGUCAAAAUUGACAUGUCUGGUUCUGUUACUAUUACUUUGUUUCAACUUGUUUUAAUCAGAAAUUAUGCCUCUCUUUACAAGGUCCAAAUUCAUGUUUUUAUGAUAUGAUAACGCAGUGUAAGUUUAGAACAAGGGACAGUAAUAUCUCUACUUGAAGAAAAUGGUAUUGUCAAAGGAGUGCACUAUAAAGAUAAGAGUGGUCAAUUGCUAACAGCUUACGCUCCUCUCACCAUUGUCUGUGAUGGUUGUUUCUCGAAUUUGAGACACUCUCUCUGCCAUUCUAAGGUGAAAAAAAUGUUUACGUAUUCUUGUUAAAUUAGUUUAAUUCUUAUUUUAGUCACUCUAUAACGUUAAAAAUUUGAGAUUUAGUCCUAUUUUAUUGUGACAUAAUUUGAUUCCAUUGUAUUUGUGAUGAUAUUAGUAUGUCAAAAUAGAUCAGUUGUUUUUGUUAAAGAAUUGACUUACUUUUUGGCUAUAUAGUCAAGGUUACAUUGAAAUCAAGUUAAUUAAGUUCAACAAAUAAUGAAAUUACAUGUUACUCAAAUGUUAGUUUUAAUGGAGAUGUAUGUCAUUAUUUCAAUGGUAACAAUUAAGGAUGUCAUCAAUUUGGACCCACAAUAAAAGUAGAGAGACUAAAUUUUGCCAAAUUGAAAUAGAGGAAUAAAAUUCCAAUUCCAGCUUGGUAGAGGGACUAAAACCAUAAUUAGACAUAAAUUAUAUGCUUGGAGAAAAUAUACUUACAAAGGUCUUGAUUUUUUGUGCAGGUGGAUAUCCCCUCUUAUUUUGUUGGUUUUAUCUUAACGAACUGUAAACUUCCAAAAGAAAAUUUUGGAGCUUUUAUAUUAGCAGAUCCUUCACCUAUCCUAUUUUAUCCCAUUAGUAGCACAGAAAUUCGUUGCUUGGUGGAUGUUCCUAGUCAAAAUCUGCCCUCUGUUUCCAAUGGUGUAAUGGCUCAUUACUUGAAAACUUUGGUGGCUCCCAAGGUAUAUUUAUUUCUUUAAUCGACUCAUUAAUGGAAUUUGGUUGAACUUAUGGGCUAACUAUAUGAUCUAUGAUACAUUUCAGGUUCUUCCUGAAUUUUACAAUUCCUUUAUAUCUGCAAUAGAGAAGAAGGACAACAUAAGAAUAAUGCCGAACAAAAUCAUGGCUGGUGCUCCACACCUCACUCCUGGUGCUUUUUUGAUCGGCGAUGCAUUCAAUAUGCGGCAUGCUAUAACUGGAGGGGGAAUGACUGUUGCUUUAUCUGAUGUUGUGAUACUUAGGAAUCUUCUAAGACCCUUGCAUGAUCUAUCUGAUGCAUCCGCCAUUUGCAAAUAUCUCGAAUCCUUUUAUACUCUGAGGAAGGUAUUGUAGUUCAUGUCCUAUAUGAAUUUUUUAAAGUGAAUAAAAAGGAACAAAAAAUGGCAUAAAUUUUCACUUUUAACUGCAUGCAGCCAAUGUCAUCUACGAUAAAUACACUAGCCAAUGUCUUACAUAUGGUAUUUAGUGCCCCGUCCGAUCCUGCAAUGGAGAAUCUGCAACAAACAUUGUUGGGGUAUUUGAAACUUGGAGGGGUUUUUUCAUCUGGAGUAUCAGCUCUGCUCUCUGGUUUAUGCCCUCGUCCAUUAAGCUUAGCAUUUCAUUUCAUUGUCAUGGCAAUAUAUGGUGUUGGCCAGUUGUUACUUCCAUUUCCUUCUCCCAAACGCUUGUUGGAUGGAGCUAAACUCCUUUGGGUCAGUAUCUCUACCAAUCAUUUCUCAUAUAUCAUGAUCACUAACACGUUAAAAAUAUAUAAUAAUUUUAAAAUGACGUUCUUUUUUUUUUUCUUUUGUUUUUUCAGGUUGCAUCAAGUGUUUUUCUCCCCAUUAUACACUCUGAAGGAGUCAGACAAAUGUUUUUCCCUCUAACCGUGCCAGCAUAUUAUAGAACUCCCCCUAAGGGAAAAAAAAUCUAAGAGGAAACUCCAUGCAUCUGUAGUGAACAAUUCUAUAUAUAUUCGCAAUAGAUUUUCAUAUUUGUUUCUAGUUAGCAUUCUCACGUAGGCUUAAUGGUCGUUUGUACUCAUAUUAUUUUUAUGUGUCUUGUUUAAAAUUCUAAAUAAAGGUUUAGUAAUUCUUGUGUUGGUGUUAUUUUUAUGUAUCUUGUUUGAAAUAUUAAACUAACGAGUUAGCAUUUUUAAGUAGGUUCAAUAAGCAUCCUAUUCGUAUUAUUUUUGUUAAUAUAAAUUAUUCAUGAGUUUAUUAAUAUUAAUAAGUCUAUAGAGAUCUCAUGAAUUUGGAAGGCUCUUUGCGAGAGAUUUGGCACAACUUGAGUGUAUAUCCUAAAGCAUUUCUUGGGAUGGAUAGGAUUUUUCUAGAUAGAGCUUUGAUAUAGGUGACUUGAGUGGAAACAUCUAUCCAAAUUUUGCAGAAAUGGACGGCAAAAGUGACAUUAAAUAUUCCAGAAAAGAUCUUUGAUGCACUCCCCAAGCGUAUAGCAGAACUCCCCCGGCAAUACCAAAAAAUAAGUUAAUUUGUCUUUUCCCUUGGUUUUUUGUUUUUGCUUUACGUGUGGUGGAGGUACAUCUAUCAUAUUUUUGUCAACUUUUUGUUUUUCCAUUACGUGAGGUGGACAGCGGCCAAACUAUGGGACUCCCUCACUUAAAUAGAAAAUUUUUUAUUUAAAAUUUUAAAAUUUUUAAAAUUUUAUGUGGAAACCAUUUUUUUAUAUUUGAAAAAUGGGAAUUCAUUUUGAAAAUGGAGUCGCCACCAAUCUUUUAGGUGGUGUGAUCGGGUCACCUUAAAAAUGAUUUUAGGUCUACGAAUUUUGAGAAAAUAAGUUUGGGAGUAGGUUACGCACGAGGAAGGGUUAACACCCUCGUAACGCCAAAAUUGGUACCGAAUUAAUUAUUUAAUGUCUUAGUGUCGAAACUUGAAAAGAUUUUUAAAAACGAUCCCAUGAAAUGAAAGCUUAAAUAAUUGAACUGGCUAAAUAGAAGGACCUAUUUCAAAGAGAUAAAUCGCUACACUCAAUAAGUUAGAGUGCAACAAUUCAAUCUUUGAAGUUAGAUUCGUCUUUCUUUUUUUUAAUAUUUUUAAAAAAAUCAUAUGUUUUAAGAAGGAUAUUUGAUUAUUUAAGUCAAUCGAGAAAUCAGAAUCCAGUAAGUGAGGGUUCAAUUUCUCGAAAUUCUUAAACAUCAAAUAUUACCUUUAUUUUAAAAUCGAGAUAACAAAAUAUCAUAUCCAGUAAGUUAGGAUCCAACAUUUUGAAAUCUUAAGAACUUUAUUUUAACAAUUGUAUGGUUUUAAUAAAAUGAACACAUGUACACUAAAAAUAAUUCCAUAUAAAUUAUAUAUACGUAUAUAUAAAAGAACCAUGUAAUAUUAUUGUGAAAAUAAAAUUUGAGUUAUAUUAUGAAAUACAUUAUUUAAAAAUAAUAAGUAAUAUAUCAAAUUUUUAUAAAAAUAUAUCAAGAUUGAUGGAAACAAAUAAUAAUAUAUCAAGUUGGAAAAUAAAAGUGUACAAUAGAUAUUUUGAAAUAAUGUUUAAUAAAUUUAACAUAUAUUUGAUAAUAAUAAUUUGAAAGAAUUGUGUAUUAUAUCUUAAAAUUAUAUUAAUAAUAAGUUUGAAAAAAAUAUUAAGCCAAUAUUAAAAUAAUAGUAAAAAUAACGGAUUAAUAUAAGAAUUGAUUUAUUUUUAAAAAAUACUUUUGAAGGAAAAAUUAAAUAUGAAAAAACAUUUUUAAAAUUAACAACAAUAAUUAUAAUAAUAUCAACAAAUUUUAAAAUCGAAGCUUACAUAAAAUUAGAAUAAAAAAGGAAAACAAAAUUAAAUAAAUAUACAAUAGAGUCAAAAAUAUUGGUGUAUAAUGAAUUUAAAAAUAUAAAAUACAAGCUAAAAUAAUAAUUUAUUACAUUUUAAACUAUAAUAAUAAUAAAUUUAAACACUAUCAAAAUUAAAUAUUACAAAUAAUAUUAAAUUUUAUAAUAUAUGAAAGUAGGAUUAAUUACAUUUAAAAAUAUUAUUGAAUUAAAAAAGAAAACUAAAUUUGCAUUAAAUUGAAACCUAUUUCAACGUUGAAGGACUAAAUCAACAAUUAAAUGCAAAACCUGAAUAAUCAAAAUCAAUCGCAGAAAACGGUGCCGUUUAGGCUUGGAUCCAAAUGAAAACAGAAUUAAAUAUGCGGUACAAAUUAAAAAAAUUGAAGAAAAUUAGAUUGAAACUACAUAAAACAUAGAGGGACUCAUUUUGCAAAUAGACCAACGAACGAAAACGCGCGGAUCCUGCCCCGGGUCGGGUCACUGCGCUGAUACUAGCGUUAUACGACGCCGUUUUGAGACCACCAAGCCCGGCCUCAAACGACGCCGUUUCUAGUUAGACAUAAAAACUAAAAUAACCCUAAUUUAAACAGACUUUUCUUCCUAAAAAAAGAAAAGCAGGGACUUAAGAUGAACAGAUCCUCGGCGCCGCAUUUUGGAACCUACUGCUCAUGGGACCUUCAACCCUCGCCCGGCUCCAAUUGUGACGAAGCGAACGACGGUCAGGUAAGUUCCUCGCUCUUUUUUUCUUUUCUACUUCAAUAUUAAUCAAUGAACAAAGGAGCGGAAAAACAAAGAAAAGAUUAACAAUGACCUUUCGAAUCUUUUCUUUUCUCUGAAAAUGAGUUUUUUUUUUUUGUAUUCAAUUUCUCUGAAUGUGUCUCUGUGUGUAACUCCUUACAAAGGUUUCGCCUUUUGUUUUAUAGGCCGAAAAUAAAAAAAAAUGAAAUAUAAAAAUACAAUUUUCUGUUUUCUGCUAGUUGUUUGCUCUAUUUGCAGGUACGACGUACGGAGGGGGGACAUGGCGUGUACAGAGUGGCACGUGGCGGUGGCGUACGUGCGAGGGAAGGCCCUGGUGGCUGCAGCGCGUACGAAGGCAGAGUCUGGGUCUUGGUUGCUGCGGCGCUGGGAUCUCCUAGGGUUUCUGUAUGCUGCUUGGUGUUGGGCCGUCGGGCUAGGGUUGGCUAAUGGGCAUUAGGCUUAGUGGGUUUGAUUUUUGGGCUGGUAAUUUGGGGCUGGAGGGUUAGGUAUUGGGUUAACAGUUUAGGCUUGGGAAUUUGGAUUUUGUAAUCGGGUUUGGGCUUAAUGUAUUUUGGUUUGUAAUCUGGACUGAUGUUAUUGGACUUUUAUUAUAUAUAUUUUUUGUAUUUGGGUUUUAAUAUUCGUAUCCGGCCGGGCAAAUUAAUAAAAAUAAAAUUGUACUUUCAGCUUUCUUAAAGUUGAUAAAAAUUUAAUUUAAUUCUUUAAAAAUUAUAAAGAUAUAGGCUAUUAAAAUAGUAAAAUUGUAUUUUUAUUGUCAUAAAAAUUACAAUUUAAUUUCGACCUUCUAAUUUUUUUGUGACAUUAGGGACUAAAUUGAAUAAAUUAAAAGUUGUUAAGAAAUUAUGCCAUAGACUAAAAAUACAAGGUCUCUAACAUGAAAGUAUAUGAAAUCAGAUUUUGAUUUAAUACUAAAGACUGAAAAGUAUGAGUAUUUCGAAUAUAGGGAAAAAUGAAGAAAAUACAAAAUAUAUUUGAUUAUAUAUAUGUUUAUCAUGUGGUUGAGUGAAAACUAAAGCUAUUUUAUAAUUGAAUUAUCGAACGUAGCUAAAAAUAAUGUCAGGCCGUCCUGAGAUAAAGGAAAUGCGAGAAUCGUAGAAAGUAAUUAAUGCAAACUAAUACAAUUUGUACAUUCAUGAUUCAAAUUCAAUAUUUACAAACUAACUUGUCUCAUGGUUUGGUUUGUAUUUCAAUACUAUUGAACAUAUGUUUGAUCUUUAGAUUUGUAAUUUGUAAAUGUUUAAUUUAAAUAUGAUAUAAAAGUAUGAAAAGUAAAAAAAAAUUGUGAUCAUAAUAAUAUUAAUUAUAAUUUAAAAGAAGAGAUAUUUUAUUAUUUUUAUUUCACUUAAAAAUAAAACUGAUUUUACGAAAAUUUGAAACAAUAGGUUAUUAUAGAGAACUAACCUAGUAAAAAGUGUACUUUAUACUUUAUAAUUAAUAUUGUUCGAUAGAAAGUUGUUCUAAAAGUAUCACAAAAAUUAUUGAAUUAUUUAUUUUAUAUAAAGAAAAACUUAUAACCACUAAAUACAUAUUAAUAAAGAUCCAAUAUUUAAUCAAUAUGAUAAAAAUAUCGAAUCAAUUUAAAAUUGUACAUGCAUAAGAACCAAAUUUAUAUCGAUAUAUUCAUUUUAUAAUUAUAUAAAAGUUUGAGUAAACUAUUAGCUUUACCUGGUGAAAUAAAAUUUUUUUAAGUGAAAUUAAAUUAUAUAUUUUUACGAUAGUAAAAAUAUAAUUUUACUAUUCAAUUUAAAAUUGUACAUGCAUAAGAACCAAAUUUAUAUCGAUAUAUUCAUUUUAUAAUUAUAUAAAAGUUUGAGUAAACUAUUAGCUUUACCUGGUGAAAUAAAUUUUUUUUAAGUGAAAUUAAAUUAUAUAUUUUUAUGAUAGUAAAAAUAUAAUUUUACUAUUUUUAAUAUUUUAUACUUUUAUAAAUUUUAAAAGAUUAAAUUAAAAUUUUACCAUUUAUGAAAGAUUAUUAAUUUAAAAUUUUAAAAAAUAUGUGGCGGAUCCUUUGAUAUUUUUAUUGAUACAAAAAAGUAGAGGCUCGAGUAGAGUUCUGUGAUUUUAGUUGCCACUUGUGCAAAGGGUUAAGCUACUGACAUGACUGCAUCCAUGAAAGAAGACAAAUUGAAUUGUAACUUACUGCUCCUUUACGUUAAGAUUAAAAAACAGGCGGUAUGCUUCUUCACUCACCAUUGGUUGGUCCUGUUCUUCUUGAUUAUUCUUUCCAUACAUUGUUCUUAAAUCAAUGGCUGGGCAGUUUAUAGUUGGAGUUGCAGAUGUUAUAGCCUUUCUUUUGGGGUUUGUUUUCUUAGUGAGAUUUUGGGGGCUGAGCAAGCUGAAAAGAGCAGCUUCAAUGGGGUUCCCAGAGGAAAACUGUGUAAACAAAAAUGGAAAUGGUGAGGGUGAGGGUGUUGGCACUACAGAAAUUAUCAUAGUCAGUGCUGGUGUUGCCGGUGCUGCUCUUGCCUAUUCUCUUGGAAAGGUCCCAAUUUUUUAUCACCUUUAUUUUAAUUUUAUGGAAUAUAAGUUCCGACUUGGGAUAAUAAUAGUAAUGAACACUAAAAAGAUCUUGGAGCCAUAAACAUGACUCUCCCAACUUCUCCAAUAUUUUUAUAGUACUAAAAAUAAUAUAAAACAAAUUUAUUCAACUCUAAAAAAAUAAGGGUUCUUCAAAACAAAAUAGAGGAUGAGUUUUUUUAUAGAUAAUCUUAUUGUUUAUAUUGGGAGAGAUUGUUAAAAUUUUUUAUUUAGAUUUUAUAUUUAGUGAUUUUAUUUUUUUGAAGAACAACGUGCGCAGUUUUAAGUAGGCUUGCUCAUGAACCGGCCCAGCCCAAAGGCCCGCUCGAAAAAUGAGAGGGUUUUGAUAAAAAUAUAGGCUCGAAAAAUAGGUUUGAUCGAAAAAUGCCCGUUUAGAAAAUGGGCUAAGCCUCAAGUAAGGUUUUUCGGCCCGACCCAAAUAUGUAGUUUUUUUUUUGCUUUUUUUUUUCCUAUUUUCUUGUUGUUUUUCUCACUAUUUUGCUACUAUUUCACUAUUAUGUUGCUACUAUUUUUUUGUUAUUGUAUAACUUUUGUUUUAUUGUUAAUUUUGUUACUAUUUUAGAGGUAUUUGCUUGUUAAGUUGCACUUAUUCUAGUGUUAUUUAAGUAUACAUUUUUUAAAAAUUUAUUUUCAAUUUGUUGGGAAACAUUUAUUUUAAUGUUUUUAGUAUUUUUGAUGUAUUAUAUCUUUAAAGAAAAUUAUAUAAAAAAGUGAUAUAAAAAAUUAAUACAGGCCGAGCCCGGAUUUUAACAUUUUAUCUGGGCUAGGCUUGGGCAAAAUUUUAGGCACAUUUUUUGGGCUCGGGCCAAGCAAAUAAGUCUAAAAUUUUGGUUGGGCUUUGCCCGACCCAUAAACACCUCUAGUUUUAAGUAAUCAUAUGUUAUUUCUUCUUAAUUGUUCUUUUUAAAUAUGUAUUUAUGCUAUCUUUUUUUAACUUAUAUAUAUUUAGAAAUAUAAUAUGGAACAAAAACUUUAUAUAAUUUUUUGUAGUAUAACUAACAUACAUAAUAUACGUUACAGGAUUUUGUUUUAUGUAGAACGUCUAAUUUUAGUUUAGCUUCCUAAAGUUAACAUCCUCACUCCGUCACUGUUAAAUAUUGUAAAAUAAAUAUAAAAGAUACUUUAAUAAUGUCAAAUAAAAAAUUGAAAUUCCAUCUUAAUUAUAUUUAAUGUAGAAAUACAUAUAAAUAUCUAAGAUUUUUAAAAAUAUUGUAGAUGUGGGGAAUGCUGCAUUUAGCUUCAAUUAACAUCAGUUUCUCUUCAAGUUACCAUAAGAUCCUUGAAAAAUGGAUUUAAUUAUGAUGUUAUACCUAAUAAUUCUUCUGUAAUUAUAUAUAGCAGGAUGGACGUCGAGUGCGAGUGAUAGAAAGGGACUUAAAUGCACCUAAUAGAAUUGCUGGUGAAGGUCUGAUGCCUGGAGGAUACCUAAGUUAAUUGAAUUAGGCCUCGGAGGUAAAUAAGAAAAAUAAUGGAAUAUAAUGUUACAAUGACAUUUCUUUGUAUAUUUUUAUUUAUUUAUUUUACAUUGAAUGCUGGCACUACAGAUUGUGUAGAUGAGAUUGAUGCUCAACCAAUUUUAGGUUAUACUCUAAACAAGGAUGGAAAGGAGGCUCUCGUAUCUUUCCCAUUGGAAAAGUUUCAGUCUCAUGUUGUAGGAAGAACCUUCCAUAAUGGUCGUUUCGUUCAAAGAUUGCGAAAGAAAGCCGCAUCUCUUCACAAGUACUUUCUCUCCUUCCUCCAAAUAUAAUAUUUUAGAACAUUUAUCUUAAUGGAUUAAAUGGCUUCUAGUUGUUUUGAUCCAUUACUUCUGUUUAGACUUAUCAAUUGAGCUCAUUCAGUUGAUUUUGGUUUGAUUAAUCUAGAUAAAAUCACUCAAGUUUUAAAAUUAACACAUCAUUUUGGUUUUUAUCAUUGUAGGCUAAGGAUUAUUUUGAGUUCAUAUCAUUUCAAGUUUAGAUUUGAGUCAUUUUGGGUUCAAACAUUAGAGCUCCAGGUUCUAAAUUUUUGAGUCUAGUCAUUACAAUUUAAUAUCGUUUUGGUUCUAGUCACUUUGAGUUUGGGUCCUUUCAAGUUAAUUUUUGAAUCAUUUUGAGUUUGAGUUGUUUUAAGUUCAAGCUAGUUUGGGUUAGGGUAAAAUUUUGUUCAAGUUGGAGGGACUCAAAUUGUGGACCCUUUACAAUUUUUGAGUCUGGUCAUUACAAUUUCAUAUCAUUUUGGUUCUAGUCACUUCGAGUUUGGGUCCUUUCAAGUUAAUUUUUGAAUCAUUUUGGGUUUGAGUUAUUUAAGUUCAAGUUAGUUUGGGUUAGAGUAAAAUUUCGUUCAAGUUGGAGGGACUCAAAUUGUGGACCCUUUAUAGUCAAAUCAAAUUGGAUCAAAUUUAAGUUCCAAUUGGUCGAGUCAAAUUUUCAAAUUCAAGUCAAAAUUGACAUGUCUGGUUCUGUUACUAUUACUUUGUUUCAACUUGUUUUACUCAGAAAUUAUGCCUCUCUUUACAAGCUCCAAAUUCAUGUUUUGUAGAUAUGAUAACGCAGUGUAAGUUUAGAAUAAGGGAUAGUAACAUCUCUACUUGAAGAAAAUGGUAUUGUCAAAGGAGUGCACUAUAAAGAUAAGAGUGGUCAAUUGUUAACAGCUUACGCUCCUUUCACCAUCGUCUGUGAUGGUUGUUUCUCUAAUUUGAGACGCUCUCUCUGCCAUUCUAAGGUGAAAGAAAUGCUUACGUAUUCUUGUUAAAUUAGCUUAAUUCUUAUUUUAGUCACUCUAUAACGUUAAAAAUUUGAGAUUUAGUCCUAUUUUAUUGUGACAUAAUUUGAUUCCAUUGUAUUUGUGAUGAUAUUAGUAUGUCAAAAUAGAUCAGUUGUUUUUAUUAAAGAAUUGACUUAUUUUUUGGUUAUAUAGUCAAGGUUACAUUGAAAUCAAGUUAAUUAAGUUCAACUAAUAAUGAAAUUACAUGUUACUCAAAUGUUAGUUUUAAUGGAAAUCUAUGUCAUUAUUUCAAUGGUAACAAUUAACGAUGUCAUCAAUUUGGACCUACAAUAAAAGUAGAGAGACUAAAUUUUGCCAAAUUGAAAUAGAGGAAUAAAAUUUCAAUUUCAGCUUGGUAGAGGGACUAAAACCAUAAUUAGACUAUAUGCUUUGAGAAAAUAUACUUAUAAAGGUCUCGAUUAUUUGUGCAGGUGGAUAUCCCCUCUUAUUUUGUUGGUUUUAUCUUGACGAACUGUAAACUUCCAAAAGAAAAAUAUGGAGCUCUUAUAUUAGCAGAUCCUUCACCUAUCCUAUUUUAUCCCAUUAGUAGCACUGAAAUUCGUUGCUUGGUGGAUGUUCCUAGUCAAAAUCUGCCCUCUGUUUCCAAUGGUGAAAUGGCUCAUUACUUGAAAACUUUGGUGGCUCCCAAGGUAUAUUUAUAUCUUUCUUUAAUCGACUCAUUAAUGGAAUUUGGUUGAACUUAUGUACUAACUAUAUUGAAGAAUUUAAAAUUUUGUGAGUAAUUUCAAGAAUGAAUUUUAAUAGCUCAAAUUCCUUUUUUAAGUUCCGCUUAAAUAGGUGGUUUUUCGAAAUCUCUAACAAUUUUAAAUGACUUAAUACACAUGGUUCGACUAUAAAAUAAAAACUUAAACCUCAAAAUUUAUUUUAUUUAAUUAUAAUAUAUUUUUAAAAUUUUAUUGUAUUAAAGUUAUUUAUAAAUUUUUACAAAUAUAAUGAUUUUCAUAUUGAAUAUUGUUUAUAUUAUUUAUAUUUAAUAUAAUUAUUCUUUUUAUAAUAUAUUCUAAUUUGUAAAAUUCCAUUAACCUAAAUUUUUUUGUAAACCAAUUAUUUAGCCCAACAAAAUAACUACAAAUACUAGCAUUUUAAAUAAUCUAAAAAAAUUCUAAUUAUAGGUCUCGAUCAUAUAUAAUCUUUUUGAUACAAUACCUAGAACUACCCAUAGUCCCUCCUCAGCUCAUAGAUAAAAGGAUAAUACGUUUCAGCAUACUCAAAAUCACGUCUUUCUCCUCAUGCCAAUUGAAUUAAGGUUCAAUAGACAAUUCGAUACAAAUUUAAGCAUAUAUUUUUUUUAUAUUUAUGUCAUAUGUUUGCUCUUUUUAUUGUGAAAUUAUUUUAAUUCUGGUUAAAAUUAUUUCACUUUAAGAUAAUUUAUGUGUUGUAAUUAUAUUUAAUAAUUAUUAUUUAUAAAUUACAAUAUAUUAUUAAAUGCAAGUAGUUUGAUUUUUUUUUUUUUUAUCUUUUUCAAUUGCGCGGAGUGGGGCUACUUCUAUUCAACCAUCUAUCACAUCAGUUUUAAGUAAAAUUAAAUUAAAUUAAAUUGUUUUUUUCGAAAAAUUAAAUUGAAUUGUCUUUUUCUCUUUGAUUUUCUCUUUGUCUUUUAGCAAUAAUAGCUUUUCAAGGCUUAAUUUAAUAAGACGUACCCGGGUUGGUUUAGUUUUUUAAAUUAUCUUUUCAUUGGUUUGAAUAUUUAAUAGGCUUAAUUUAGUUGGCAAGUUCUUAAGCUUGGUGGUAAUGGGUUUGAAUGAAGGAAUUCUAGUUGUCAAUCUUUGCUUUCACUUUCUCCUUAAUCAUCUACUUGCUAGAUGGUUUUGGUGCAGAACAAAUGAAAUUCAUAUUCGUUUAUGUGAAUAAAAUAAUCUUUUAUUUUUUAAAAAUGCUUUUAUAAUGAGAGAAUUAAUCACCACAGUAAAUAUUUUAAUUUUCACAAAAUAUAACUUUAUGAAAAAAAAAACUCAACUAUUACAUGUGAAAUUUAAAUUAAAUUAGGAAGGACCAACAAUUGAUUGCUCAAAUAAAUAUCUUAUUUUUUAAGAGGAAACUUCUUACUAUGAUCUUUUCAGAUUUUUUUUUAAGUUGAAGUAAAAUUAUUAGUUAUUAACGUGGAUCCCUUUUUAUAUUUUUAUUGAUACAAAAAGGUGGAGGCUCGUUGUCACCUGUGCAAUGGGAUAAGCCACUGACAUGACAGCAUCCAUGACAGAAGACAAAUUAAAAAUUUCGAGGCGUGAAGUACAAAAACAGCUUUCCAUACAUUGUUCUUAAAUCAAUGGCUGAGCAGUAUAUAGUUGGAGUUGCAGAUGUUAUAGCCUUUCUUUUGGGGUUUGUUUUCUUAGUGAGAUCUUGGGGGCUGAGCAAGCUGAAAAGAGCAGCUUCAAUGGAAUUCCCAAAGGAAAACUGUGUAAACAAAAAUGGAAAUGGUGAGGGUGAGGGUGAGGCUGUUGGCACUACGGAAGUUAUCAUAGUCGGUGCUGGUGUUGCCGGUGCUGCUCUUGCCUAUUCUCUUGGAAAGGUCCCAAUUUUUACGCUCCUUUAUUUUAAUUUUAUAGUAUUAAGUUCGGACUUGGGAUAAUAACAUUAACCAACUUUAAAGGUCGGUUUGGAUGACGAUUGAUUGCGGUGCGGUGCGGUGCGUUUAGUUUAAUUUUUGUCUCACGCUACAGUAUCGUUACAGUGUCUAAUCUUACCGCCACCGCUAUUUUUACACUAACCGCAGGUAAAUACACCGCCCAUCCAAACUCACCCUAAAAAGAUAAUUUUCAGUGGCCGAGCCACUGAGAGAUUCGGGGAGUCAGGGUCAAAGGUCUAAAAUUUUUCAAUUUCUUUUUUCUAUACAUGUAAUGUAAUCACCCUCCCAAAUAUAAAAAUAGAUUUUUCUAAUAUUUUUAUAGUAUUAUAAAUAAUAUUAAAAUAUUUUCGAUUAUGAAAAUUGUUAAAAUAAGAUUUCGCAACAAAAUGGAGGAUAAAUUUCUUAUAAAUAAUCUUGUUGUUUAUUUUAAGAGAUGUUGCCGAAACUUUUAAUCUAAACUCAAUAUUUAAUGAUUUUAUUUUUUUGAAAGAACAUCGUGCAUUAAUCAUAUACUAUUUCUUCUUGAUUGUUCUUUUUAAAUAUGUAUUUAUAUAACCUUUUUUAAUUUAUAUAUAUUUAGAAAUAUAAUAUGGAACAAAAAUUUUAUAUAAUUCUUUGUAGUGUAAUUAACAUAAAUAAUAAUUGUUAUAAUUUUUUUUUCGUAGCACGUCUAAUUUUAGUUUAGCUCUUUCAAAAUUAAUAUCUGAUUCCGUCACUGUUCAUUAUUUUAAAAUAAAUAUAAAAGAUACUUUAAUUAUGUCAAACAAUAAAAUAAAGAAUUGAAAUUCCAUCUUAAUUAUAUUUAAUGUAGAAAUACUAUAAAUAUUUACUAAAUAGAGAUUUUUAAAAAUAUUGUAAAGGUGGAGAAUGCUCCAUUUAGCGUCAAUUAACAUCAGUUUUUGUCUUCAAGUUUUCAUAAGAUCCUUGAAAAAUGGAUUUAACUAUGUUGUUAUACCUAAUAAUUUUUUUAUAAUUAUAUAUUGCAGGAUGAAUGUCGAGUGCAAGUGAUAGAAAGAGACUUAAAUGCACUUAAUAGAAUUGCUGGCGAAUUUUUAAUGCCAGGAGGCUACCUCAAGUUAAUUGAAUUAGGCCUCGGAGGUAAAUAAGAAAAUUAAUGGAAUAUAAUGUUACAAUGAUAUUUCUUUGUAUAUUUUUAUUUAUUUAUUUUACAUUAAAUGCUGGCAUUACAGAUUGUGUAGAUGAGAUUGAUGCUCAACCAAUUUUAGGUUAUACUCUAAACAAGGAUGGAAAGGAGGCUCUCGUAUCCUUUCCAUUGGAAAAGUUUCAGUCUCAUGUUGUAGGAAAAACCUUCCAUAAUGGUCGUUUCGUUCAAAGACUACGAAAGAAAGCCGCAUCUCUUCACAAGUACUUUCUCUCCUUCCUCCCAAUCAUUCUUUAAUUUCAAUAUAAUAUUUUAGAACAUUUAUCUUAAUGGAUUAAAUGACUUGUAGUUGUUUUGAUCCAUUACUUCUGUUUAGACCUAUCAAUUGAGCUCGUUCACUUGAUUUUGGUUUGAUCAAUCUAGAUAAAUCACUCAAGUUUUUAAACUUAACACAUCAUUUUGGUUUUUAUCACUUUAGGCUAAGGAUUAUUUUUGGUUUAGAUCAUUUCAUGUGUAGAUUUCAGUCAUUUUGGGUUCAAACAUUAGAGCUCCAGGUUCUAAAUUUUUGAGUCUAGUCAUUACAAUUUAAUAUCGUUUUGGUUCUAGUCACUUUGAGUUUGGGUCCUUUCAAGUUAAUUUUUGAAUCAUUUUGAGUUUGAGUUGUUUUAAGUUCAAGCUAGUUUGGGUUAGGGUAAAAUUUUGUUCAAGUUGGAGGGACUCAAAUUGUGGACCCUUUAUAGUCAAAUCAAAUUGGAUCAAAUUUAAGUUCCAAUUGGUCGAGUCAAAAUUGACAUGUUUGGUUCUUUUACUAUUACUUUGUUUCAACUUGUUUUAAUCAGAAAUUAUGCCUCUCUUUACAAGCUCCAAAUUCAUGUUUUGAUGAUAUGAUAACGCAGUGUAAGUUUAGAACAAGGGACAGUAACAUCUCUACUUGAAGAAAAUGGUAUUGUCAAAGGAGUGUACUAUAAAGAUAAGAGUGGUCAGUUGCUAACAGCUUAUGCUCCUCUCACCAUCGUCUGUGAUGGUUGUUUCUCGAAUUUGAGACGCUCUCUCUGCCAUUCUAAGGUGAAAAAAAUGCUUACAUAUAUACUCUUGUUAAAUUGGUUUAAUUCUUAUUUUAGUCACUCUAUAACGUUAAAAAUUUGAGAUUUAGUCCUAUUUUAUUGUGCCAUAAUUUGAUUCCAUUAUUUUUGUGAAGAUAUUAGUAUGUCAAAAUAGAUCAGUUGCUUUUAUUAAAGAAUUGACUUAUUUUUUGGUCAUAUAGUCAAGGUCACAUUGAAAUCAAGUCAAUUAGGUUGAACCAAUAAUGAAAUUUCAUGUUACUCGAAUGUUAGUUAGUUUUAACAAAAAUCUAUGUCAUUAUUUCAAUGGUAACAAUUAACGGUGUCAUCAAUUUGGAUCUACAAUAAAGAUAGAGAGACUAAAUUUUGCCAAAUUGAAAUAGAGGAAUAAAAUUCCAAUUUCAGCUUGGUAGAAGGACUAAAACCAUAAUUAGACUUAAAUUAUAUGCUUUGAGAAAAUAUGCAUAUAAAGGUCUCGAUUAUUUGUGCAGGUGGAUAUCCCCUCUUAUUUUGUUGGUUUUAUCUUGACGAACUGUAAACUUCCAAAAGAAAAAUAUGGAGUUUUUAUAUUAGCAGAUCCUUCACCUAUCCUAUUUUAUCCCAUUAGUAGCACAGAAAUUCGUUGCUUGGUGGAUGUUCCUAGUCAAAAUCUACCCUCUGUUUCCAAUGGUGAAAUGGCUCAUUACUUGAAAACUUUGGUGGCUCCCAAGGUAUAUUUAUAUCUUUCUUUAAUCGACUCAUUAAUGGAAUUUGGUUGAACUUAUGGACUAACUAUAUGAUCUAUGAUACAUUUCAGGUUCUUCCUGAAUUAUACAAUUCCUUUAUAUCUGCAAUAGAGAAGAAGGACAACAUAAGAAUAAUGCCGAACAAAAUCAUGGCUGGUGCUCCACACCUCACUCCUGGUGCUUUUUUGAUCGGCGAUGCAUUCAAUAUGCGGCAUGCUAUAACUGGAGGGGGAAUGACUGUUGCUUUAUCUGAUGUUGUGAUACUUAGGGAUCUUCUAAGACCUUGCAUGAUCUAUCUGAUGCAUCCGCCAUUUGCAAAUAUCUCGAAUCCUUUUAUACUCUGAGGAAGGUAUUGUAGUUCAUGUCCUAUAUGAAUUUUUUAAAGUGAAUAAAAAGGAACAAAAAAUGGCAUAAAUUUUCACUUUUAACUGCAUGCAGCCAAUGUCAUCUACGAUAAAUACACUAGCCAAUGUUUUACAUAAGGUAUUUAGUGCCCCGUCCGAUCCUGCAAUGGAGAAUCUGCAACAAACAUUGUUGGGGUAUUUGAAACUUGGAGGGGUUUUUCAUCUGGAGUAUCAGCUCUGCUCUCUGGUUUAUGCCCUCGUCCAUUAAGCUUAGCAUUUCAUUUCAUUGUCAUGGCAAUAUAUGGUGUUGGCCAGUUGUUACUUCCAUUUCCUUCUCCCAAACGCUUGUUGGAUGGAGCUAAACUCCUUUGGGUCAGUAUCUCUACCAAUCAUUUCUCAUAUAUCAUGAUCACUAACACGAUAAAAAUAUAUAAUAAUUUAAAAAUGACGUUCUUUUUUUUUUUGUUGUUGUUGUUUUUUCAGGUUGCAUCAAGUGUUCUUCUCCCCAUUAUACACUCUGAAGGAGUCAGACAAAUGUUUUUCCCUCUAACUGUGCCAGCAUAUUAUAGAACUCCCCCUAAGGGAAAAAAAAUCUAAGAGGAAACUCCAUGCAUCUGUAGUGAACAAUUCUAUAUAUAUUCGCAAUAGAUUUUCAUAUUUGUUUCUAGUUAGCAUUCUCAGGUAGGCUUGAUGGUGGUUUGUACUCAUAUUGUUUUUACGUGUCUUGUUUAAAAUUCUAAAUAAAGGUUUAGUAAUUCUUGUGUUGGUGUUGUUUUUAUGUAGCUUGUUUGAAAUAUUGAACUAACGAGUUAGCAUUUUUAAGUAGGUUCAAUAAGCAUCCUAUUCGUAUUGUUUUUGUUAAUAUAAAUUAUCCAUGAGUUCAUUAAUAUUAUUAAGUGUAUAGAGAUCUCAUGAGUUUGGAAUGCUCUUUGAGAGAGAUUUGGCACAACUUAAGCGUAUAUCCUAAAGCAUUUCUUGCGAUGGAGAGGAUAUUUCUAGAUAGAGCUUUGAUAUAGGUGACUUGAGUGGAAACAUCUAUCCAAAUUUUGCACAAAUUUACAACCAAGUGAAUAAAAUUGAGUUUAUGAUACAUUUUCGAUUAAAUAUCUUUUUAGCUAACUGGACGGCAAAAGUGACAUUAAGGGUGAGUUUGGAUGGGCGGUGCGUUUACCUGCGGUUAGUGUAAAAAUAGCGAUAGCGGUGAGAUUAGAUACUGUAGUGAUACUGUAGCAUAAGACAAAAAGUAAGUUAAACACACCGCACCACACCCAAUCGCCCAUCCAAACCCACCCUAAAUAUUCCGGAAAAGAUCUUUGAUACACUCCCCAAGCGUAUAGCAGAACUCCCCCGGCACUUUUUAUCAUACCAAAAGUUAAAUUAAUUUGUCUUUUCCCUCUCUUUUUUUUCCAAUAAUAAUUUAUCCUUUUUGUUUUUGCAUUACGUGUGGUGGAGGUACAUCUAUCAUAUUUUUGUCAAGUUUUUAUUUUCUUCCCUUUCGAUUCGCUAUUUCUCUGCUAACCUCUCUUCAAUUUCCCUCUUUCUCAAUUUGGUAAAGGACGACACGGAUGAAUUAAGUUAAAUGUCCUCUUAAGAAACGGCGCCGUUAAAGGUAAUUUUAAUUCAGAGUUGCGGCGUUUUGCGAAAAAACGCUGCUAUUGCAUCCACAUUUGCGGUGUUUUAAUAAUAAAGAACGCCACUAAAAUUUUUAGUACAGAAAGAAACGGUGCCGUUUUAUUAAAAUAUAAUGCAUGUUCUGGUGUUUUUCCAAAAAAUGCCACUAAAAGAUUCCAUCCUUCCAUUGAAACGGUGCCGUUUUGCCAACUUUUAAAUAUCAUUUACGGCAUUUUUCGGAAAAACACCAUAACUCAAAUUUAAUCCCUAAACUGAAACGACGCCGUAUCGAAAAAUGCAAUAAAUGUUUGUGGCAUUUUUUACCAAAACGCCGAUAAUGUCUACCUUUUGCGGUGUUUUUGAUAUAAACGCCACUAAUAAAUUUAAAUUCUCCUAUCGAAACGGUGCCGUUUUGAGAAAUUUGACUAUAUAGUAACGGCAUUUUUUGUUAAAAACACCGCUAAAUCUCAAAUAUUUUAUUUAUUUAUUUAUUUAUUUAUUGUAUCUUUCAUUUAAAUUUUACGUAAAUAAUUAUUAAAAUUUUAAGUAAUAUUUAAAAGUAUUUGAUACAUGUAUAAAUUUUAGUUUUUUUUAUUUCUUUUUUAUUUUUUUAUUUUAUUUUUUCUUAUAUUUUGGUCCUAUACAAAUUAAAUAAUUAAUUACCUAUAUAUAUAUCCAUAUAAAAAAUAUCAAUGGUUAGGGUUAAAUGUUUUUAAAUAUACAAGUAUUAAUUAAUUGUAUCAUUUAACAAGUCUCAAAUAAACCUUAAACCCUAAAUUAACCAAUCAAUCUACAUGCAUAAAGUGAUCGUCUAUCUAUUAUAUAUCUCUUAAAUAAUAUAAAUUAUACUCAUAAUUUCAAUAUAUUAAAUUUAUUAUUAUCUAUUUUACAAAUAUAUAAGAACAUAUUUAAUAUAUAAAUUAAUAAAACUAAUUAAUCUAAACUUAAACCCUAACUUGACCCUUGAAACCCUAAACCCCAAAUCCCUAACCCCUAACCCCUAAAUCCCCCUAACACCUAAAGCAUAACCCCUAACACUUGAACCUUAAAUCCCAAACCCUAAAUCCAUACCCCCUACUCCUUAAAAUACCAUCCAAAAAAAUCCUUAAAUCUUUAACAAUCAUAAAAUAUAGUUAAAAUCGAUUAAACAAUAAUUAAUAGUUAAAAAUUUUGUAUAAAUUGGUGUUUUAUAUUACUUUCUUUGAUUUAUUUAGUCGAACUAUCAAAAUUUAUUAUUCUUAUAAAAGUUUAUUCUAUUUUUUAUUCUUUACAACACAACAAUUUAAGUUUUAUGAUAUUUUAUUUUACUCAUAGUUUAAUAUAUUUUUUCUAGUAAAGUAGUUUAAAUAAACUGUGAUUAAAAAAUAAUAAUAAAUAGUUAGGAGUUAGGACUUCUCUUUAAUUAUAAAAAUAUUUUGUAUUAAACAAUAUUAUUUGUUAUCAUUUAAAUGUAAAUUUGUCCACUAUAUAACAUGGUCUUUAGCGGCGUUUUUUUCUAAGCGCCGCUAAAGAACAUGGUCUUUAGCGGCGUUUUUGUUUGUAAAUGCUGCAAACGUUUGCGACGUUUUCGUUAGCGGCCUUUUUUGCGGCGCUUGUGGAAGCGCCGCAAAUACCUUUAGUGGCGUUAUAAAGCGCCGCUAAAGGCCUAAAAAACGCCGCUAAAGACCCGUUUUGGUGUAGUGUUAUAAUAAAAAAAAUAUAAUUCAAACAUUACUUGAGAAUAUAUCAAAGAAUGAGAUAAUUGAAAUGGGUAUUAGAUUUUAUUAUUAUUAGCGGUGCUAUUUCAAAAACGCCGCUAAAGGCCCGAGCAUUAGCGGCGCUAUUUCAAAAAAGCCGCUAAAGGCCCGAGCAUUAGCGGCGCUAUCUCAAAAACGCUGCUAAAGGACCGAGCAUUAGUGGCACUACUCCAAAAACGCCGCUAAAGGCCCCAAAAACUCAGAAAACGGCGUCGUUGGUCUUAGGUUUUUUGCGGCGCUUUUCGGAAAACGCGCUAAUUCUUAUUUUUAGCGGCGUUUUUCGAAAAGCGCCGCUAAUGCUCGAUCUUUAGCUGUGUUUUUAUAAAAGCGCCGCUAAUGCUUGAUUUUUAGUAGCGUUUUUUAUCCAAACGCCACUAAAAAUGCCACUAAAAGCCUAUUUUGGUGAAGUGGUAGUAUUGGUUCACAUCGUAGGGCGUACCAAGAGCACUAAAAAUGAUAAUGCAUAGGGUCUCAUGAGCUUGGAGAGUUGUUUGGGAGAGAUUUAGAACAACUUUAGCAUGUAUCCUAAAGCAUUUCUUGUGGUGGAGAGGGCCUUUCUAGAUGACGAGGAACUUUGGUAUGGGAGACUUGAGUGGAAACAGUCAUCCAAGUUUUGCACAGGCUUACAGCCGAGUGAAUAAAGUUGAGUCCGUAACACAUUACGAGCUUAAUAUAUUCCUCGAUAAAAAGUCUUUUUAGUUAACUGGAUGGAAAAAGUAGCAUUAAAUAUUCUUAAAAUGAUCUUUACUUUUGAUGAACCACCCCCAGAGAUCAUGGUCACCCUUAAAACUGAUGUGAAAGAAUUUGCCUUCCCAGAUUUAGGGAAAAUUCUCCCAUGCGCUCCAAGCAUGCACACCUAUAUGUAAUUUUUACCGACUUUUCUAAUGCUAUUUUUGUUAGAAAUAUUAGUAUUGGUAUAAGUUAGAAAUGUCGGUAAAAACUAAAAAAAUUUGAUAGACUCCCCAAGCGUAUAGCAGGAUUCCCCACGUUUAAUUGUUGCUUAUUAAGCUCUAGGGCCCUCUAUCAUACCAAAAAUUAAAUUAUUUUGUUUUUUCCUUUUGUUUCUUUUAAUGCCUUCUUCUUUUGUUUUUUUUUCCUUUUUGUUUCUUUUACUGCCUUAUUACAACUUCAUGAAUAAAACGUGGGUAUUUUUCCACCCAAAUAACAUCACUACAAAUACACCUGCAUGUCUAGUCAUUUUUGUGAGCAGCGUUGCUUUGGGGACUUAGCGAUCGCAGGACCCAUGUUUUGGCUACUCUUGUUUACUGUCUUCCAAAUUAGAGAUGAUUUGUAGAGCAUCUCCCUCAACAAUAAUAUCCCAGCACGUGCUUAUUCACUCCCCCACCAUUCCUCCCUUCUCUUCUAUAAAUCAUGUUCUUCUUGAUUAUUCGUUCCACGCAUUGUUAUUAAAUCAAUGGCUGAGCAGUACAUAGUUGGAGUUGGAGCUGUUAUAGCCUCUCUUUUGGGGUUCCUUUUCUUGUACUGCAAUUCCCUCAUAAGAUUUAGGGGACUGAGUAAGCUAAAAAGAGCAGCUUCAAUGGAGUUCCCAAAGGGGAACAGUGUAAACAAAACUGGAAAUAGUGAGGGUGUUGGCACUACGGAUAUUAUCAUAGUCGGCGCCGGUGUUGCCGGUGCUGCUCUUGCCUAUUCUCUUGGAAAGGUCCCAUUUUUUCUCCUUGUUCUUUAUUUUGUUCUACCAUAGUUUUAAUCAUCUUAUUUUCCUCUUCCAGCAUAUAACAAUUACUAGUUUUUUUUUGGGAAAAAAUAUCAUGGUUACCUCUUACUAGGAGUCAAAUUGCAUAUAAAUUAGUCUUUUUAUAUUAGAUCAAGUAGCAAAUUGAUCAUUUCUAUUAAAAAUUUAAUCCAUUUUUACGAUUAAAAUUGGUGUGGUUGACAUAAUCAAAUAGUUAUGCAUAGCGCGUUGUACCUUACGUUAACAUAUAGGGACCAAUUUUUAACUGUAGGAAUUUAUGGACUUUUUAACAGAGGGCUAAUUUGCUCUUUGAUCUAUUGUAUAGGGACUAAUUUGUUCAUUUUUUAGUAGAGGGGACAAAUGCAAUCCGAUUCUUAGUACAAGGCCCUCCAUGAUGCUUUUACCAAUUUUUUUGAGGAACAAUUACUAAUUAAGUUUGCAUUUUAUCAUUAUUAUUUAUACACAUUUUAUUAUUAUUGGUUGAAGUAUUAUAAGAUAAUAUUUCGAUAAGUUAAUUUAAUUUCACAUGGAUCUAUGUUUAUUUUUUAUAAUAAAUUCAAAUUUUAAUUUGAUGGCAGAAUGAAAUAUUCAAUAUUUUCUUAAACUGUACCGGUUCUGAUUGAGAAUUGAUUAGGGUAUUGGUCCAAAAGAAAUAAAAAAUCACUUGAUUCAUGAAUCAGUAUAAACUGAUUAUAUCAAUGAUUGAAUUUGUUGAUCCGGAUUUUAUAAUUUUUGUUAUUUUUAUUUUUUAAUAAUUUAUUUAACUUAAAUAAGAUAAACAAAUGGAUCGAAAAUUGAUGAUUUGACUAGUUUCACAGUCAAUUUAGAAAACAUCAAAUAUAGUAUUAGUAACUAAGAAUAUAUAUAUCAAUUUUGUAAAAAUAAAACAUCGGUAAUGACAAUAUAUUGUAAAGAAAAAGAGAAAUAAAAAUAAAAAACACACAGAUUUUUACGUGGAAACCCUUUCGGGGAAAAAACCACAGGCAGAGGAGAAGAAAAUUAUCUAUGUCAAAUUCGAUUGAUUACAAGAGGAGUUUCGACUACAUCUAUUUAUAGGUUAAUUCUAAUCAAAGUCAAAUAUAUUAUGUUAACAAAUGCUAAAUAUACUAGACUCAUAAAUACUAAAUCUUCUAGAAAGAAGAUAUAUUUUGUUUAACUUGACUUGCAAGCAAUCUCUUAGAAUUUGGGUCAUACAACUCUAACAAUUUUUUUAUAAUUGGUAAGGCACAAUAUGAAGUACUAAUAAAAAAUAGCAUAUAUAAUCAGAACUUGUAAUGAGAUUAUUAAAAAAAUCUAUAAAUAUGUUAAAUAAAUUUUGUAGGUCCUUUAUUUAUUAAUUUUUAUUUUUUAAAAGAUUUAAUUGAUAAAUUACACCCUAAAAUAUAUCUAAAUCUUUUUUUUGGUUAAAACUAAUACUUAAACUAUAAUUCAUUUAAUGCAACAUCAAUAAAUAAUUCUGGUUUAUAAUAUUAUUAAUAUUAACAUUAAUUAAAAAUUAUAAUAACAUUUCAAAAAUUCCCUUUUAAAUCAUUUAAAAAUUUUCAAAAUAUGAUUACCCUCAAUCAAACAUUCAUUGAAAAAAUUUAGUUUCAAACUUUUUGCAAUACAUAAGCAAGAAAUAAAUAUCAUUUAAUUUCUAUAAGAAAAUGUGCCAAUUAAACAUUAACGAAAUUCAAUAAGAUGCAGUAUUCAAGCAAAGUCAAGCAUCAAAACAGUGUGACAACAAGAAUUAAUGCAUGAUCACAUUAUCAACAUUUGCAUAUUAAUGAUAUAAGUAAUAAAGCUUAUACAAAUAAAACUUUGUUGAAGGUUAGAUCAAAGAUCCAAGACAAUUGCCUUUCUUGUAAAACCACUAGCGUUUCUUCUGAUCACUGCUCAAAUAUGGGGAAGGAACCACUGUAGUUGUAGUGGUUGUUGUUGCAACAUAGAAGUUGGGAUGAUUUGCAGUGGUGAUUCACAUCGUUUAAAAAUGGUGUAUAAAAGUCUAAUGCAUUUUGGCACAACUUUGGCAUAUAUCCUAAAGCCCCUUUUCUCUUGUGAUGGAGAGGGCUUUUAUAGAUGAGGGGGUGCUUUUAUAUGGGUGACCUGGGCAGAAGCGCCCAUCCAAAUUCUGCACGAACUUAGAAUCGAGUAAACAAAGUUGAGUCCGUGACACAUUACGAGUGUUAGAAUUGUGUGACCCAAAUUCUAAGAGAUUGCUUGCAAGUCAAGUUCAACAAAAAUAUAUUUUCUUUCUAGAAGAUUUAGUAUUUAUUAGUAUAAUAUAUUUAUCAUUUAUUAGUAUAGUUUAUUUGACUUACUAAUUUAGCCUAUAAAUAGGCUCUUUUACAAUCUUAGAAAUUAGAGACACCCAUUAGAUUAGAACUCAUAACACAUUCAGAGAAUUUUGUGUUUACGUUUUGAGGGUUCUUUGUUUUUCGGGUUUUCGGGGUUUAGUUUUUAUCUCUAUCUUUUGUACUCUUCAUUCUUUUGCCAUUAUAGUAAAAUUAUCUUUGCCCGUCGUUUUUUAUCCUCUUUUGAGGGGUUUUUCCACGUUAAAUUUGUGUGUUCAUCUUCUCAAUUUCUUCUACUAUUUUUACUUGUUCGUUGCUUAAUCGGGACGAUCCUAACAAGUGGUAUCAGAGCUAGUUUAACUUUCAUAGAUCAGCCCGUUCAGAGAUGUCAGCAACAAGGUUUGAAAUUGAGAAGUUCAAUGGUGAGACAAAUUUCAAUCUGUGGCAAGUUCGGAUGAUGGCAAUUCUAGUUCAAAAUGGCUUGAAAAAGGUUGUUACAGGGAAAAAGCCUGAGAAUCUUAAUCAAACAGAAUGGGAAGAGCUUGAUGAAAAGGCCUUGUCUGCAAUCCAGUUGUGCCUCGCGAAUACAGUAUUGCAGGAGGUAUUGAUNNNNNNNNNNNNNNNNNNNNNNNNNNNNNNNNNNNNNNNNNNNNNNNNNNNNNNNNNNNNNNNNNNNNNNNNNNNNNNNNNNNNNNNNNNNNNNNNNNNNNNNNNNNNNNNNNNNNNNNNNNNNNNNNNNNNNNNNNNNNNNNNNNNNNNNNNNNNNNNNNNNNNNNNNNNNNNNNNNNNNNNNNNNNNNNNNNNNNNNNNNNNNNNNNNNNNNNNNNNNNNNNNNNNNNNNNNNNNNNNNNNNNNNNNNNNNNNNNNNNNNNNNNNNNNNNNNNNNNNNNNNNNNNNNNNNGUGAAGGGUUAUUUGUUGAGUAGAGACAAACUCGACAAUGAGUUUGGUUUGAAUAGCAAAGCAGAUAGGCAAGCUUCCGUUUUGGUAGCAUUAAAGAAACAAGACAAAAGGUGUCGCUAUUGUAAAAAGUUAGGUCACUUCAAAGCAGAUUGUUAUAAACUGCGAAAUAAAAGAGCUGCUGAGAGUAACGAGGAAGAUGUAGCUGGUGCUAAUUUGGUCAAUGAAGGCGAUGAUGAUUUCUUGUUAGUGUCAACGAGCGAUAAUUCCAAGCUUACGUCUGAGUGGAUCCUAGAUUCAGGAUGUUCUUUCCACAUGUGUCCCAAUAGAGAAUGGUUCUCCACAUACAGUUCAGUUGAAGGUGGAGUUGUGCACAUGGGAAACGAUUCAUCUAGUAAAAUAAUCGGUAUUGGUACUGUUAAAAUUAGGAUACACGAUGGGACGAUUAGGACACUCUCAGAUGUCAGGUAUGUACUUGAUUUACGAAAGAAUCUCAUCUCCUUGAGUAUUUUAGACUUGAAAGGAUGCAGAAUCAACAUCGAGUCGAGCGACAUUAAAGUAUCUCGUGGAGCUCUCGUUUUGUUAAAAGGUAAAAGAGCCGGCAGUCUUUAUAUUCUGGAAGGUUCUACAGUGACUAGUGAAAUCGGACGUCCCUCGUCCGUUACGGAGUCAAAGUCAACUCAUUUGAAGCGGAGGCAACUUGGUCAUAGGAGGGAAAAAUGUAUGACCGUUUCGUUGAAGAGAGGUUCUCUUUUGGAUGCAAGUUUUGAAAAGUUAGGGCACUGUAUUCGUGAAAAUCAGACCCGGGUUAGUUUUGAUUUGGCAGUGCACAAGUCGAAGGCUAGAAGUCUUCCAGCUUCUAAGCAUAGAUUCGACUCAGUUAAUUCCCUGCAUAGUUCAAGAUAGGCCCGUGGCGGGUUUUGGCAAAGAUGGCAUUGAAAAAAUUUGUGUCAAGGUGGAGAUUGUUAGAAUUGUGUGACCCAAAUUCUAAGAGAUUGCUUGCAAGUCAAGUUAAACAAAAAUAUAUUUUCUUUCUAGAAGAUUUGGUAUUUAUUAGUAUAAUAUAUUUAGCAUUUAUUAGUAUAGUUUAUUUGACUUACUAAUUUAGCCUAUAAAUAGGCUCUUUUACAAUCUUAGAAAUUAGAGACACCCAUUAGAUUAGAACUCAUAACACAUUCAGAGAAUUUUGUGUUUACGUUUUGAGGGUUCUUUGUUUUUCGGGUUUUCGGGGUUUAGUUUUUAUCUCCAUCUUUUGUACUCUUCAUUCUUUUGUCAUUAUAGUAAAAUUAUCUUUACCCGUCGUUUUUUAUCCUCUUUUGAGGGGUUUUUCCACGUUAAAUUUGUGUGUUCAUCUUCUCAAUUUCUUUUACUAUUUUUACUUGUUCAUUACUUAAUCGGGACGAUCCUAACAACGAGCUUAAGUAUAUUCUUCGAUAGAAAUUUUUUUAGCUAACUGGAUAUAUAGUAAAAGCAGCAUUAAGUAUUCCUAAAAAGAUUUUUUAUCUUCGAUGAAUCAUCACCAAACACCAUGAUCACCUUUAAAGCGGAUAUUGAAAAUUCUCUCAUGUGUUCUAAACUUACACUCUACCUGUGCGAAUUGCAGAACUCCCCACAGUUAGUGAUUGUCUUUUUACCUUGUCCCUCUUUAGUCCCACAAAAUAAAUAAUUUAAUUUGUCUUUUUCCUUUUUUUUUUUUGUUUCUUUUUGCGAUAAUAAUGCAUCCACGUAACAUCAUCACUGCAUUGCAAAAAGUCCUUAGCUUUCAUACUUGCCAAUGCUUCUGUAUUUUUCCGAAAUUAAAUUGUAAUGAACCAAAAGAAAUCGUCUAUCACUACUUUUAGUUAAAAUUAAAUGAAAUACGAAAGGACACAAAAAGUAAUUGCCUACAUAAAUAUAUUACUUUUGUAGAGGUUAUAUUUAUGAUCUAUAUAGUAUAAUGUUGGGGUAAACUCGAGUUAAGAAACGAAUAAGAAUAAAUAGAGAAAAAUCGGAUACAAAUAUUUACAUGAAAAAACUCUUCUUAAGAGACAAUUCAUGGUUCAGACGACUAGUAAAAAUAGAAAAGAAUAAACGAAUUGAGUUGUGAAAUGAGUUCAUGGAUUUACCAAAUUUUUAGGUCUUUACAAAUUUAAUUUGUCUUUUUCCUUUUUUUGUUUCUUUUUGCAAUAAUAAUGCAUCCUUUCUUUUUUUUUUCCAUAACGUGUGGUGGAGGUACUUCAGUCAUCAAUCAUAUUUUUGCUGGAGAAAUGUCUUCUUCGUUUCAUUAAUCAUUUAGAGCAUAAGCAAUUACAACUUCAUGAAAAAAAAUGGGUAUUCUUCCACCCACAUAACAUCAUCACUGUAUUGCAAAAAUUCCUUAGCUUUCACACUUGCCAAUGCUUCUGUUAGUUAAAUUUAAAUGAAAUACGAAAGGACACAAAAAAUAAUUGCCUACAUAAAUAUAUUACUUUUGUAGAGGUUAUAUUUAUGAUCUAUAUAGUAUAAUGUUGGGGUAAACUCGAGUUAAGCAACGAAUAAGAAUAAAUAGAGAAAAAUCACAUACAAAUAUUUACUUGAAAAAAUUCAUCUUAAGAGGAUAAAAAAUCACGGGUAAAAAAAACUUCACUAGAAUGGCAAAUAACUGAAGAGGAGUACAAGAUAGAGAAACAAAAAACAAAUCCAAACUCAAAAACACAAAGUUCUUCCGAAAUUCCCAAAAAACUCUCUCUUAAUUAUGUUGUUGAAUUGAUCUCUCUAGUGUUGCUAAAAGCCCUAUUUAUAGGCUGAAAUCCAUGUGAAAAUAUGACUAAAACAUCUCUAGAAUAAUCAAAGUUAAACUAGAAAAAGAUAACAAAGUUCAAUUAAGAGAUACAAUUCGGUUUAGUAGAUAACACAUCGUCACGUCGUGACAUGGCAUAUUGCCUUGUCGAGACGUCAUUCUUCGCAUCGUUAAGACAUUGUCUCUUUCUCGUCCCGACGUUAACCCUAUUUCAUCUAAAAUGUGAGGUAUAGAUGAGAGGGCCAAAUGAGAUUUCCAAACCACAAUAAUUUAAAAUGUUUGAUAUAUUAUAUAUUAUACACAUUAAAAGAUCUUAUUGGUCGAUUGUGGAGAUUAUUAUAUGCCAUUGCACGCUUUUCCUCUAUAAAUGAUGUUCUUCUUGAUUAUUCGUUCCAUACAUUGUUCUUAAAUCAAUGGCUGAGCAGUACAUGGCUGGAGUUGGAGGUGUUAUAGCCUCUCUUUUGGGGUUUGUUUUCUUGUACUGCAGUUCCCUAAUCAGAUUUAGGGGACUGAAGAAGCUAAACAGAGCAGCUUCAAUGGGGUUUCCAAAGAAAAACAGAGUAAACAAAACUGGAAAGAGUGAGGGUGUUGGCACUGCGGAUAUUAUCAUAGUCGGCGCCGGUGUUGCCGGUGCUGCUCUUGCCUAUUCUCUUGGAAAGGUCUCAUAAUUUCUUCUUUUUUCUUUAUUUUGUUCUACCAUUGUUUAAUCAUCUUAUUUUCCUCGUCUAGCAUAUAACAAUUACUAAUUUUUUAGUAAAAGUAUCAUGUUCCUAGUAAAGUUCCUGUACUAAGAUUAGAUUGCAUUUUAUUCCUUUUACUCAAAAAAUGGGUAAAUUAGUUCUUGUAGGAUAGAUUAAAUAGAAAAUUGGUAUUUUCUGUUAAAAAAUUUAUUCAUUUCUACUGUUAAAAAUUGACGUGGCUGAUGAUAUAACCAGUCAGUUACACAUAGUGUAUCAUGUGUACCUCAUGCUAACGUAUAGGGAUCGAUUUUAAAUAGUAGAAAUGAAUAGAAUUUUUAACUGAGAACCAGUUUACUUUUUAAUAUAAUGAGACUAAUUUACUAUUUUUUAAGUACAGGAACAAAAUGCAAUCUGAUUCUUAGUACAAUGGCCUCCAUGAUACUUUAACCAAAUUUUUUUGAAAGGAACAAUUACUAAUUAAGUUCGCAUUUUAUUAUUAUUGGUUGAAGUGAUAUAUGGGAAGAUAGUAUUUCGAUAACUUAAUUUAAGUUCACGUGAAUUUGUGUUGAUUUUUUUGUAAUAAAUUCAAAUUUUAAUUUGAUGGUAAAAUGAAAUAAUCAAUGUUGUUUUUGAAAUUAGAUUUAGAGUACUGGCUUGAGCUGGAUUUUAUAUAUUUUAUAUUUUUAAUAAUUUAUUUGAUUUAUAUAAAAUGAACAGAUUGAACCGAAAAUCAAUGAUUUAAUCAAUUUAACUACCGAUACGAUUUAAAAAUAAUAACUAAAAAUAUAUAUUUGACUCUUUUUAAUUGAUAACUGUGUAAUAUCAAGUAGUAGUUAAAAAAUAUAUAAAAUCUAUUUUGACAGUCCAAUUUGAUUUUAUUUAAUAUAAAUGCAUAUAAAUAUCUAAAUUACUGUCAUGUAUACUGCCAGUGAAAUUAAAAAAAAUUCAUAAGCAAGUUAAAAAAGAUUUUGUAUGUCCUUUAUUUAAAUAUAUGCUCAAAGUAGUUAUAGUGUAGAAACAAGCUUGUACAAAGGCGGGGAAAAAUCACGAUAAGAAAUAAUAUCUGAGUAAAAAACAUACAUGGUAUACACACAGGAUGGAAUUAGAGAUUUACAUGUCACAAUUGCGCAUGAUUAAACUCAAACUUGAGUGCUUAAGAACCCAAAGUCUUUGCAUUAAGCAACAAUGCCAAGAUUUCAUUGGCUUUCAAAUUUGGAUUUUAAUAUGAUACCAUAUGUAACAAUUCUUAACAACUUACAUGUUACAGGAUGGACGUCGAGUACGAGUGAUAGAAAGGGACUUAAAUGCGCCUAAUAGAAUGGCUGGUGAAAGUCUAAUACCAGGGGGCUACUUAAAGUUAAUUGAAUUAGGCCUUGAGGGUAAACAAGAAAAAUCAUAGAUUUAAAUAGUAGAUGUAAUAUAAUGUUAUAAUGUUAUUUCUUUAUAAAAUUACUUAUUUUACUUUUAAGUGUUGGUUCUAUAGAUUGUGUAGAUGAGAUUGAUGCGCAACGACUUUUGGGUUAUACUCUAUACAAGGAUGGAAAGGAGGCUCAAGUAUCUUUUCCUUUAGAAAAGUUCCAAUCUCAUGUUGCAGGAAGAACAUUUCAUAAUGGUCGUUUUGUUCAAAGGUUGCGGAAAAAAGUUGCAUCUCUUCACAAGUACUUUCUCUCUCCCUCCUCUCAAUCAUUCUUCAAUUUCAACAUAAGACACCAGAACAUUUUAUCUUAAAGGAUUAAGUGAUUUGUAGUUUGUUUUAAUUCAUUGCUUCUGUUUAGACCUGUCAAUUGAGCUAGUCAAGUCGAUUUUGGGUCAAGUCAACCUAGAUCGAGUCAUUCGAGUUUUACAAUUUUUUGCUUAAAUUUGGUUUUAGUGAGCUUAGAUUCAAGUCAUUUCAGGUUUGGGUUAAAUUCGGGUUUGGACCGUUUCAAGUUUGGAUUUGAGUCCUUUCGGGUUUAGGUCAAUAGGGUUUGAAGCUCAAGUUUUUAGGGUCAGCUCAUGAUAGGUUCAUGUCAUUUUAGGUUGCAGUCACCUCGAUUUUUUAUCUUUUCAAGUUGCUUGUUUGGAUCAUUUUGGGUUUGAGUGGCCAAUUUAUGUUAGAGUAAAACGAGGUUAAGUUUAGAGGGAUUCAUGUUGUUGACCAUUUAUAGUCAAAUCAAGGCAAGUUUAGGUUUGAAUUGAUCAAGUUAUAUUUUAGGCUUAAGUUAACAUUGACAAGUUCACUUCUAUUUGUAUUUACUUGUUACAACAAUUUAUUAUAAAGAGUACAUUUGAAAUUAUACUUUUUCUUUAGAAGAUCCAAUUUGAUGUUUUGAUGUUAUGAUAAUGUAGCAUAAGUUUAGAACAAGGGACAGUAACAUCUCUGAUCGAAGAAAAUGGUAUUGUUAAAGGAGUGCAGUACAAAAAUGAGAGUGGUCAAGUGUUGACAGCUUAUGCUUCUCUCACAAUUGUAUGCGAUGGUUGUUUCUCAAAUUUGAGACGCUCUCUUUGCUAUCCUAAGGUGAAAAUGCUUGGGAAUUCUUGUUAAAUUUGUUCAAUUAUGGUUUAUGUCUCUUUAUUAUGCUAAAAUUUUAUAUUUAAUCAUUCUACUUUAUUUUUUAUUUAAUUUAAAUCCAUUUAUUUUUAUAAUGUUAUUGUAUGUCCAAAUUAAUAAUAUUAUUAGUUGCUUUUUAUUACAAAUGGUACCUACUAAUAACAUUUAGAGAUCAAUUUUUUUUCCAAAUUAAAGCAAAGAGAUUAAAUUCUAAUUUUAGGAUAAUAGAGGGGCUAAAUCCUAAAUUCUAUGCUUUGAGAAAAUAUAUAAAGGUCUUUAUUAUUUUUGCAGGUUGAUAUACCCUCUUAUUUUGUUGGUUUUAUACUGACGAACUGUAACCUUCCAACUAAAAAUUAUGGAGCUAUUAUAUUAGCACACCCUUCGCCAAUCGUAUUCUCUCCCAUUAGCAGCACUGAAAUUCGUUGCAUGGUGAAUGUUCCUAGUGAAAAGGUACCUUCAGUUUCCAAUGGUGAAAUGGCAUGUUACUUGAAAACUCAGGUGGCUCCCAAGGUAUAUUUAGAUCUUUCUUUUCUUCAUUCAUUAGGGGAAUUUGGCUUAAUUUAUGGACGAACUGUAUGGCUUAUAAUACAUUUCAGGUUCUUCCUGAAUUGUACGAUUCCUUUAUAUCAGCAAUAGAGAAGAAGGGUAACAUAAGAAUAGCGCCGAAUAAAAUUAUGGCUGCUGCUCCACACCUGACUCCUGGUGCGCUUUUGAUUGGAGAUGCACUCAACAUGCGGCACGCUAUAACCGGAGGGGGAAUGACUGUUGCUCUGUCUGAUGUUGUAAUACUUAGGGAUCUUCUAAGACCCUUGCAUGAUCUAUCCGAUGCAUCCACCAUUUCUAAAUAUCUCGAAUCUUUUUACAC
This 44215-nucleotide long non-coding RNA is filed under the name Gossypium raimondii (Peruvian cotton). RNAcentral describes it as "long non-coding RNA (GRAI_LNC010186)". The stretch from base 41017 to 41161 matches the Rfam family "MIR7502 microRNA precursor family". Lineage: Eukaryota; Viridiplantae; Streptophyta; Magnoliopsida; Malvales; Malvaceae. The record is from RNAcentral.